Molecule: long non-coding RNA, 52326 nt
Filed under: Ananas comosus (pineapple)
Lineage: Eukaryota; Viridiplantae; Streptophyta; Magnoliopsida; Poales; Bromeliaceae
Description: long non-coding RNA (ACOM_LNC016297)
Source: RNAcentral
AAAAGAAAAAAGUUGUGCUUUUUAUUGAAUCCAACAGCCUAAAAGAGAGAUCAUACCCCGGUGGGCAAGGGGACUAUGAUGCCGGGCUUCACGGCGGCAGCAGCAGUGGAGGCGGCGGGGCGGGCGCGCCACUCGUAACGCGUGACGCCGAGGCCGCGCUCGCGGGCGCGCUCGCGGCGGAGCUUCUCCUCGGGGGAGAGGUUGGCCUCGUCGAGGCCACCGCCGUCGGGCGGGCCGAAGACGAGGUCGUGGCGGCGCGCGGCGACGUCGAAGGCGUAGACCUUGCGGUAGAGGGUGGAGUCGGGGCUGAAGAGGUAGGCGACGGCGCGGUCGUCGGGGGAGAAGCUGAUCGACGAAGGGGCCACGUACCCCGGGAGCGGGUACUGCACUAUCUCCUCCACCGGGAGGAGGAACGACUCGUCGUUCGCGUCGGCGGCGGGCAUGGCGGCGGCGGCGACGGAGACGGCGGAGGAGGAGGUGAGCCGCCUCUUCUUGGUCCUUUCGAGGCGGCGGCGGGCGGCGGCGGCGGCGCGUCUAGCGUCCUCGCGCGGGGCCUGCGCGCCGCGUGCAAAGUAGAAGGGGGAGGACUUCCCGUCGCUUGUGCAGGCGCCGUAAACCUACCCUAAACCCUAACCCUGAAUGGUGCGGGAGGGAAGGAAGGGAUCGGUAUCGGAUUCGCCCGGCGCGGUAUGAAGGCGCCCUCCUUGAGCGCCAAUUUUUUCAAGCUGUUUCUCUUCCUUCCUCUUUUAGUUCCGCGCAACAGACUUUAUUGUGGUUAUGUAAAACCAAAGUUUCUGUGGAUAGGACCCUGGCAUCCAGGUCAUUGCUAAAUUUCAUCAUAUCAUUCCCAUAUAGUAAUAGUAUAUAUAUAUUAUUUAUUAUAUAGUAGUAAUGAAGUAAGUAUAUAAUAUAUAUAAUAUAAUAUACUGAUAGUCAAAUUAAUUACCCUAUGAUAAAUAUAUAAAGUAUUGCGCUUCUCCGGAUGCUUUUCAGCCCUCGUUUUCCCGAUGUUGGACUUUCCGAAUCGGUCGCGACGGAGCGCCUGGUAGAGGUUUGUGCCGACAGGGCGGCUUUCCGCUUUAAACUUGAUCUACCAGAAAGUAUUUGAAGUAGCUAGAAAAUAAAUAAUUUAUGAUUUCUUACCCGAUAUAUGCCUAUGAACGAACGGGGGCUCAAAUCAAACCGGCUGUGAAAAAUAAAAUCUCUACAGAAAUGUAAUAAUAGAUUUAAAAUUCUAAAAAUCAACAGACUAUCUGUCUUGUUAUAUAGAUAAGGAAUUAUUCUAUCAAAAUUCAUGUGAUUGGAAAUUUGGCAUAAACCGUUAAUAACUGCAAACGGCUGCACGUACGGUCAUGAAUUUGGUUGAUUUUUUGAGCCCCGUUCUUCACUAGGGGCCAAAUGAUCAUCAGAACCAAGUAAUCAAAAUGUAUUUUCCUGAGGUACUCUACGCCCCCCAAAUACUCUAGAUCAACGUUUAACGAAGCCGAAUCGACGCAUUCGAAAAGUCGCAACAUCGGCACAGAACGAAGCUAACGAAGACUCCGUACCUUCCGAAUAGAUAAGUAAAGCUCACUACACCCCCCUAUACACUCACCUCCUCACCUCAUAGUUGACUGAGCUACUAUUACUACAAAACUGUCAUUAAUUGCAUCAAUGUUGUUUAGUCCUUUUGGGAUCAACACUUUUUUAAUCAUUCUAAUCAUUGAUUAAAUACUAUAACCAGUGGGACACUAAUCCUAGGCCGAUUCCAGUCAACCAAUGACUAAUAUACAUCCCUAACCUAUACAAUUUUAUCAAGUGUUAAAACUUGCAUACGCAAAAAAGAGCGUUCUUGAUUAUAUAGUAUUCCAGCCUAAUUUUAUAUAUAAUAUAUACUAUAAUAUGGAGAGAGGAUGAGGAGAGAGUUGACUGGGCUGACUAUUAGUAGUGAAUGUCUAUUAAAUGCUUACCCCCACACUUUUACCUUUUAGAGAUCAUACUGCUUCAUUCAUUAUUCUAACAUUUGGAUUAACUAUAUAAACCGUGGGACUACUCACCCUCAGCGGGGACCACUCAACUCUAACCGACUAAUAUCAUCCUGACCCUACAAUUUUUCAUCCAAGGGUUAAAAACUUGGUAGCAAAAAGAGCGUUUUACUAUUAGUAGUAUUCCAGCCUAAUUCAUAUAUAUAUAUAUAUAUAUAUAUAUAGUAAUUAUUAUAACACAGUCAAUAUUAUUUCCAUCCAUACAUUAAUAUUUUAGUUAACUAAACUAACUAAUAAAAUUUAAUUAUAAUAAUUUAAAAUUUCAAGAGAAAUUAUAAUAAAUUAGAGUGUUAUCAGUUAUGCACCCAACAGUUUUGAAAGUCAAAAAUAUAAUUUAACCUUAAAUUAAUUAUGUUAUCAUAUUUUUCAAACCUACCUAUUUAAUUCUAUUAAAUUUAACAAUGGUACACACUGCAAUUAAUUGUUAAUUACUAAUUAUUAAGAACUUGUUUGGCAUUAUUGCUGUUAUUCUUUUAAAUAUUGAGUGUGUAUACUUUGAUAUAUGGGUGAAAAAAUAUUAUUUUGUUGUCAUAGUUGGUGGUAGUUAUUUAGUUUACGAUGCAUUCUGACCAAAUAAUAAAUAACAACUUUUUUACUAAAAAUUUAAAUUGCAGAAAAGUCUUAUUUACCUAUCUUAAUUUUGUUUCAUCAAAGAAAUAUUCUGAAUAUAAGAAUGUAAGAAUUAUAAAUAAUCUAUUUUUUUCUCCUACAUGAAACAUUUUAUUCAGACUAGACCUAUUUUUAUUUAAUUAAAUUAAUUUAAAAACUUUGACCUCUUUUAAAAAUGCUGCAUCCGUAGAGUUUCCAUAGUUAUGUAAGUAGUGCUUCUAUGGUUGUUAUUUUUCGAUAUUAUUCAUUCACUCCCAUUCAACGUCUGAGAUUUAAUUUUUUUAAAAUUGUGACUGUGAGAUCCCUGGUGUCUGGCUGUGGGGGCUUGUCGACAGCUCUGGAGAGUGUCGGGACAAGCCCGAGUCGCGUUGGCGUCAAAUAGACGCAAAACGGACUCCGUCGGACGCGAAAGCAGCCUUCAGCGAAGAAAUCUGCGAAAUAGCAGAUUUUCCUGCUGGCUGUACCGGUACAGCCAGCGAGGUGUACCGGUACGCUAUACUGGCUGAGCGCGUACUGCUCUCGGGUUAGCUUCCUGUACCGGUACGCGAUCCCGUGUACCGGUACACCAGAGUAGGUGAGGGGCUUUUUAGUAUUUUUACCUUGCCUCGUUUGUAUCUCCUUCACUCCCCUCUAUAUAGUUCCGUGUAAGGAGAGAGAGAGAGGCCUUUUUNGGUAACAAACUAAAAUUUUAAAAAUCAACUAAAAAUUAAAAAAAUUUAAAGAAAAGAGUCAAAAUCAAUUUAAGAAAUCAAAUUAAUUAGACUUAUCAAAUUAAUAAAAUAUACAAAUAGUCUAGUUUUGUUCAAUAUAAAUUUAUUUAAUUUAUCUACAUUUCUAAUUUUGUUUACUCUAAUAAAACUCAAUCGUGGAGAUUUAUUAUAAGCUUAAAAUUUAAAUUAUACGGUCUAAAUUUAUUCAUUGAUAAAUUUAAAUUGUAUUGUACUAUUUAUAUUUAUUGGAAGUUUUCGUACACUUUUUAGGUUCUAAACUUCAAAUUUAUUUUAUUUUUAUCUUAUAUUUUAAAUUAUAAUAUAUGAUCUCAUUAUUCUAAAAGAUCAAUUUUUUACUAUUAAAAUUUAAAUUAAUUUUGCCCAUACAAUUCUAUUAUAAAAAUAAAUUUGAAUUAUACCCUAUAUUUCUAAUCAAUUAUCCACAUUAAAAUUUUGUAAAUAGUGAUAAAAUAUUAAUAUCUAAAUUAAAAAAUUCCAAAAUUUUUUUAAACAUAUUAAAUAUGUUGAAUUUAAAUAUUUAUUCAUAUUUAAUUUUUUAAAUUAGUAAUACAAAAUUAAUUAAGAGGAAUUGAAAAUUUUGCUAAACAUAUUAAAUAUGUGGGCUUUUUUUGCUUUUAGGCCCCUCAAAAAAUUUUCACAAAUAGUUUCACAAAAUUUAUAUUUGCAAAAUUUACUCUAUCCCUGCCAUGCAGGCACCUUGUGAGUUAGGGUUUAAGUUGAACGCAGUAAACCAUCAACUAUAUUCAACUUAACUUAUAUAACGUCUAAUACAAUAAACACGAAGAAUGUGACAAGGAAGUAAAAUAUGGAUAGGAUAGGUUCAACUUAACCCGCCACGCUACCAUGGCACUCGCAUGGCACUUGCAUGACGGGAUAGGGCCAAUCUUAUAAAUAAUUUCUCAUAAUAUCACAUGAUGGCGCUUGGUUCAUGUGGUAUAUUUAUAGAAAUUGCGUAUGUAAUAAUUUCUCAUAGCCUCGUCAACUCCAAAUUCAUAUAUAUAUAUAGAGAGAGAGAGAGAGAGCAGGGCUGCUGUGCUCCCAGAAGCACGGAGGCCUCCGUGCUCCUGAGUCGUUUUCGAUGAUGAAAUUUUCGAAUCGACGAUCUGCUCCAUUAGACCUGAUCUAGCGUAUUUGAAAUUUCUAGAAAAUAAUUUUUGCGAUUUUUUUAUAUCAUUUACCUAGUGAUUGAAAUGAUUCAAAAUCAAUAAUUUUUAAUGGUUUAUAUAUGCCGUUUUCAAGUUUAAUGGUGUAGAAGUAUUCAAAUCAGAUGAAAAUCUGAUACAAAAUUCUUUGUACUGUCUACAACAAGAUCAAUAUUUUUGAUCGAAAAUUUUAGUGCUAUAUCACCACUUUUUAUAGGAUUUUUAUUUUCGGCUGUUAAAAAUUAUUGAUUUUAAAUCCUUUCGAUUGCUAGGUAAAUGAUAUCGAAAAAUCGCAAAAAUUAUUUUCUAGAAACUUCAAAUACGNAUAAAAUGAUUUAUAUUUAUCUUUCUAUAUAUUGUAUGUGCUAUUUAAUUUGAUCCUUUUGAUGUAUUUUGGAUUACAGUUAAUUUAUUUACUUUUACAUUUCACCUUUUUUUUUCUUUAAGAAAAUAAAAAUUGUACAGUAUUUCUUUUAAUAUUUUAAAAUUAAAAUAAUUAUAUUUUUUUCUCAAAAUAAUAUAUAAAAGUUAUUUAUAAUAACAUGUACAUCAAUAUACGUAUUUUGUUAAAAAAAUAUAUAUAAACUGUCCUCCAAGCAAGGAAGAUAGAGACAAGAUUUAUAUUUUUUGAUUAAAUUUAUCUUUUUUUUUUUCACUUUUAUUUUUGUUUAAUUUUUUUACUUAUUACUUACAUUUUUUUUAUUUUGGCUAGGGAGUUGUGUACUUGUGUGGUAGCGUAAUCCUUUCCCAAAUGGCCCCCAUUGAAACUCGGGGCUCCAACAAAGUUUUUGUCCUGUACACUGUGACUCUCUAAGUAAAAUUAUGAAAAAGAUUUUGGCAAAAGAAAUAUUUUAUUUUUUCGAAUAUUUAGUUUAUAGGAAAAGAAAGAUAAUUUUUAGUCAUACUUAUUUGGUUUUAAAAAAAAGAUGAAUGAAAAAAAUUAUUAUAUACAUAUUUCUAUUAUAUAUAUAUAUAUUAUAUUAUUUAUAUAUAAUAAUUAUUCGAGUGGGCUGGUAUGCUUCUGGAAGCACGGAGCCCUCCGUGCUUCCAAGUUGUUUUCAUAUAUUUGUAGAUUUUAUUUUCAAGCCGUUAUUUGACCAUUCGAUCACUAGUAAAUUGAUAUCAAAAUCGCAAAAUUUAUUUUCUUAGAUACAGCAAAUACUCAGAUCAGUAACAAGCCGAUCGUCGAUUCGAGAUUCCGAGACAUCGAAAACAAUUUGAAAGCACGAGCGCUCCUGCUUCAGAAAGCAUAACCAGACCCACCUAAUAUACUUAGCAGUAGUAAAUUCAUUAUACAACUUGUAUUUUAGAGAUAUGAACACAUUGAUAAUUAUAUUUGUUAAAUUAAUGCGCAUAGUACUAAUUACAAUAGUAAAUAUAGUAUAUAUAUAUAUAUAUAUAAUAUAUAUAAUAAUAUAAUAAUAAUAUAAUAUAGCAAGGUGAGCUACAUGCUAUCGGAAGCACGGAGCCUUCCGUCUUCCAGCUCGUUUCCGAUGUUGGCGACUCUCGAAUCGCCGAUCGCCUCCGUUAAACUUGAUUCAGAGUAUUGAAAUUACCUUAGAAAUAAAUUUAUUAUUUUUCGAAGAACAAUUGCCCUACGUGAUCGAAUGCUCAAAAUCAACAAAUUCAAUGGCCGUAGUGACCGUUUCCAAGUUCAAACGUGUAGAAAUAUCAAAAUCCAACGUGAAAUUUGAUAGAAAUUCUUAAGCUAUAUAAAACAAUAUCAAUAUCUUUGAUUCUAAAAUUUUAAUGUCCAUAUAAGUUUGUAAGAUUUUUAUUUUCAGCGUUGAUUUGACGUGCCCCUUCUUCACUAGCAAAUGAUAUCGUAAAAUUCAUAAAAUUAUUUUCUGGGUACUUCAAAUACUAUACUAGAUCAAGUUAUACGCGAGCCGAUCGACUGUAUUCUGAAAGUACGCAACAUCGAAUAACCGAGCUGAAGCACGGAAGGCCCUGCUUCCUGAUAGCAAGUACCUCCUUAUAUAUAGUGAGGUCUACUAUAUAUAUUGACGAUUAAAAUCCUACAACUGUAAAAGAAUGACAUUAAAAAUUUUAAAUCUAAAAGAUAUUGAUAUGUUUAUAUAUAUAAAAAUUUCUUAUCAAAAUUUUACGUGAAUUUGAUAGUUCUACAAGCGUUAAACUGCAAACAGCUCACUAACACAUAUGAAAUUUAUUGAUUUUGAGCCCGCCUUCUUAGUACAAAUAUAUCGUAAAAUCAAUAAAAUUAUUUUCUGGACUAUCAAAAUACGCUAGAUCAAGUUUAACGUAGCCGAUCGAUCUUGAAAGUCGCAACAAGUCGAAAACGAGCUGAAGCACGAAGGCUCCGUGCUUCCGAUAGGCAGUAGUAGCCUCAACUAUAUACCCGAUCGAUCGAUUUGAAAGCGUGCAACAUCGAAAACGAGCUGACAGCACGAAGCUCCGUCUAUCGAUAGCAUAGAGCCUCAACUCUAUAUAGAUGAGCUACUAUUCAUCGAAGGUCAGCGGAAGCCUCCGUGCUUACCAGCUCGUUUUCGAUUGUGACUUAUCGAAUCGUCGAUCGUCUUCCGUUAAAACUGAUCUAGAUAUUUGAAAUAGAGUGAGCUACUAUCAUCGAAGCACGGAGCCUUCUGUGCUUUCCAGGCUCGUUUUCGAAAAUUUUUGCGACUUUCGAAUCGUCGAUCGCUCCGUUAAACCUGACUAAGUAUUGAAUAUCCUAGAAAAUAAUUUUAUAUUUUUCGAUAUCAUUUGGCCUAGUACGAAUGCGCUCAAAAUCACAGAAAUUUCACAUGGCUCGUAGUGAGCGUUUGCAAAGUUUAAGCGUGAAAAUAUCAAAAACGUGAAAAUUUUGAAGAAAUUCUUAUACUAUAUAAAACAAUAUCAUACUUUGAUUAAACCCUUUUAAUGUCAUAUUAUACAGUUUGAAGAUUUAUUUUUCAGUCCGUUGAUUUGCGCCCCUUCGUUCGCAUAGGCAAAUGAAAUCGUAAAAUCAUAAAAUUUAUUUUCUUGUAUUCCAAAUAUCUCUAAUCAAGUUACGGAGCUCGAUCGAGUUGAUUGAAAUUCGCAAACAUCGAAAACGAUAUGAUUUAUGAUUAUACGUAUCUUUGGGCCUAAGUGAACGAAGGCUCAAAUCAAACGCGAAAAUAAAAUCUACAAACCGAAUAAUUAUUACAUUAAAAUAAAUAUCAAAGAUAUUGAUAACAUUGUUUUUUAAUAUAAAAAUUUUACUAUCAAAAUUUCAGUGAUUUGAUAUUUCUACAAUCCGUAAAUCCUGCAAACGCUCACUACCGGCCAUGAAAUUUUGUGAUCUUUGAGCCAUUCGAUCACUAGAGCAAAUGAUACGAAAAAUAAUAAAAUUAUUUUCUAGGUAUUCAAUACUCUAGAUAAAGUUUAAGCCGAGCCGAUCGAAUCGAUUUGAAAGUCCGUCAACAUCGAACAAUGAGCGGAAUGACACAGAAACUCCGUGCUUCGAAGCAUAGUAGCCUCACUAUAUAUAUAUAUAUAUACUAUAAUAUAUAUAUAUAUAAAUUAUAUAAUAAUAUUAUAAUAAUAUUCGUCUACUAUAACUCUUUUAUGAUAUAGAGACUCUGUGCUCAUAAGUUUUUUGCGGUUUAGAUCUACCCUUAAUCAUUUCACACCUUUAGAAUAAAUUCAACCAACUACCGCACUCAAACUAGGGGUCCACGUGUCAGUACUAAACCGUAACUAUUCUCAUCCUUAACCUCACAUUUUUCAUCUACUGAACAGGCUAAAAACUUAUUAAUCAAAGCGCUCUAUACUCAAUUAUGAGUAAGCUAGCCCCAGCAAUAUAAUAAUAUAUAUAAUAUAUAAUAUAUAUAUUAUAUUAUAAUACAAUAUAUAGAAUAGGGCUGGAAUACUAUUAAUAGAAACGCUCUUUUUGCUAUCAAGUUUUAACUCUGAAUGAAAAAUGUAGGUCAGGAUGAUAUUAGUCGGUUAAGUUGAGUGGUCCCUCUUAGGUUGAUGGCUCCAUCUGGUAUAUAGUAUUAAUCCAAUGGUUAAAAUAAUAAAAAGUUGAUCAAAGCUAAAAAACUGGUAGUCAACAAUGGAAAUUUUGCUACGAUAGUAAGCGCAGUCUCGACUCUCUCUCUCUCUCCUCUCUCUCAUAACAAUACUAUAUACUAUAUAUAUAGAUAUAUAUAUAAUAUAGUAUAUAUUAUAUAUAUAUAUAAUAAAUAUAUACUAUAUAAUAAUAUAUAUAUUGGGGUAAAUACUAUCGAUAGCAAACGGGCUCCGUUGCCACGCCAUUCUUGUUUUAUGAUCGAGCUCCAAAUCGAGCGAUCGCACCGCUGAACAUUGAUCUAAAUACCACUUGAGUAUUUUAAAAAUCAAAUUCAUAAUCAUUUCGAUACUUAUUCUCCUUAUCCAUGCGAGUGACACAAAAAUAAAUCGCUGAAAAUGAAUAUUCUUUAAAAAAAAGAUUUUUGAUGACAGGAUACUUGUAGCAAGAUCAAGAUUAUAGAUCUUAUUUAAAUAGUUUUAAAAAAUUUUUAACAAAAUUCAUGAUUUGAUAUCUUAUGCGCGGUAAACCGAGAAAACGCCUUAUAUUCAUCAUCUAAAAUUACAGAAUUUUUAAACCCUUGAUCAUUUCGCAAAUCAAUGUUCGAAAAAUUAUGAAUGAUUUCUGAAACACUUCAGAAGUGUAUAAAUCAUGUCAAUCGGUGCAGAUCGUCGAUUUGGAGGCUCCUAUCAAUAAAGACAAAUGGGAUGAGAACUAGCCCGUUUGCUAUCGAUAGUAUUAACUUAAAUUUUAUAUAUAUAAUAUAUAGUAUAUAUAUAUAUAUAAUAAAUACUAUAUAUAUAAUAUAUAUAUAUUAUAUAGUAUAUAUAAUUAUAUAUAAGCCCUAUAUAAUCCGGUAAAAUCCCCUUUGUUCACUAGGCAAAUAAUAUCGAAAAAUCGCAUAAUUUAUUUUCUAGAUACUUCAAAUACUCUAGAUCAAAUUUAACGGAGCUAAUCGACAAUUCGAAAGUCGCAAUAUGGAAAACAAGCUGGAAGCACGGAAGGCUCCGUGCUAGAAACAUAGUAGCCUCUCUCUCUCUCUCUCUCUCUCUCUCUCUCUCUCUCUCUCUCUAUAUAUAUAUAUAUAUAUAUAUAUAUAUAUAUAACUCUCUAUAUAUAUCCGGUAAAUCACUCACACGGUCACUGUAAUAGGCUGAAAUUUGAUUGUGAGCUAAUUGUGAUCAAGUUGAUCACAAUAUUGCUAAAAUAGGAAUUAAGUGUUUCUAAACUUAAUUAGUAGCUUGAAAACAUUAAUUGACACGUUUUGGAAGUGUGUGAGUAGGCUCGAAUGGAAUUGAAGUGGUAAAGAACUCCAAUUGCCAUUGUUACUUGAGUGCUGAAAUUCUAGUUAAUUUGAUCCAAAAUGAUCAAAUUGAUGCAAAUCUGGGAAUUAAAUGUUACCAAAUUAAUUUGGUAGCUUGGGAAACUUCUUUGGAUGAUACUAGAUGUGCUCAAAUGAAAUUGGAAUGAGUUGAUUAAGAGGAAAAGAGAGUUGAAGCAGCUGUUGAUGCUGCUGCUGCUGCUGCCCUGUACCGGUACACAUUCUUGUACCGGUACAGCAAUUGCGGGCUGGAAUUGUCCAGCAAUGUAAUUUCAGUAUAUUGAAGGGCUAAGGUGCAAUUUGUAUCCUUAUCUCUUCACCCUAGUGGAAAUACACCUGUCCAAGUGCUGAGGCAUCAUAUCUCUUCCUUUCUUAUCACCUUUCCACUUCUCUCUCUUUUCUCUAAGUUAGAAAAGGGCUUGAGGGAGUUGUUGUUGGCAGCUUGGAGGUCUGCUGGCUGAAGUGCAACCUGGUCCAAGGCAGAGAGUUCCUUCUGAUUGGAGUUACUACAAGACCUGGAAAGUAUCUAAUCAAGGUAAACUUGAUUAUUAUUUCCUCCUAGUCAGGUUGGUUUCUUGUAAAAGAUAAUUAUAUGGACUUUGGUGUUGACAGCUUGAAGAACCAGUUUAUGGUGCUGCCGAAAUGCAAAGUGGAUUAAUUGAUGCUGCAAGCAAGCUUAUUUAGCAUCAAAUUACAGUAAGUCCAUUUCAGAUUGGAUUAAAGUCAAGUUGGUUACUUUAAAAUGGAUCAACUAAGAGCUUCGCUGCUGGAAUUUCAGCUUUGGAGCUGAAAUAAGAAGCAUUGGAGCUGGAGGAAUAUGGAGCUGAGUACAACUUAGGGACUUUCGAAUCCAGGUAGGAAUGAGGUUUAAUUCUUGAUUGAGAGUGUUUUAAUGGCUGUAUGUAGAAGUUGAAAAUUACUUCUAUGCUGAAUUGUAGAAGAUUAAAGAAAAAGGCCAAGAGUAACUGUUGAUGGACCUAGGAUUGACUUGGUGGAAUACCUAGGUUAAGGUGAGUUGAUUAGUAAUUGCUUCUAUAUAAGUUCAUUACUUUAAAUUGAUGCUUAUAUGCAUUCAUGCGGCUGGAAUGGCAGAGCUGAAGCUAUUACAAGAAGAGGAGUUGGCGAAAUCAGUGAAUGAAGUGAUUCCUUGCUGGCUCGAGCUGAGAGGAACUACCUAGUAAGGAGUUCCUGCUAUUGCUGCUGCUGCAGUAAUGAUUUGGACAAAUUGAAGCGGAGGACAGUUUGGUGAUAUAUCUAAUUAAGAUAAAUUGAAUCCUGCAGUCAAUUAUAGCCGAUUAGUAGCUUUAGAGAGGGAUUAUGAAAGAAGCUUAUAUUGCUGAAGUUUCAGAGUGGUGAGCUGAAAUCAAGUUGGUGCUGAAGUCAACUUGAUAAAAAUCCUGGAUGCUUGGCCGAAUUGAUGACCAGCAGGAAUUUCAGUGAGAAAAUGGAGCUUGAGCUGACCAAAGUUUAGGUAAAUUAAUUCCUGCUGUUUAGUAACUAAUUACAAUCUAAUUAGUUGCUUUAGAAUGGGUCGGAUUGAGUCUUAUUGCUGAAAAAUUUCAGAUUUGGGGCUAUUGAGCAGGGAACCAGCUAAGAGAAAGAACUCUUGAGCAUUGGUACAGCUAGUGAGGUAAAUUGAUGUUUAUUCCUGAAUCAAGUAGUGUGUUAGCUACAUUGAGACUGAUUUUAAGUAGCUAAAGUUGAGGUUAGCAUUUGAAUUAAUGCUGAAAACUGUGAAGUUUAAAUGCUGAAAUCAAUGCGGAAUUGACACUUUAUAUAGCAUUGAAAUGCUAACUUGUAAAAUAUGAGAAUAAGGCUCUAGUUUAAUAUCUUCUAAUCUUUUAUAACUGAUAAUUAAACAUGUCCGAUAGUCUAAAUUGACUUUUCGACAGGUCGGCGACGCGUUAAUCAGGAUAGUAGCCAUUUUGGGCUCUAUUUGCAUCGAGUUGCGAGAGCUAGUUGUCGACGCGUUCCGAGACGUGGAUUCUAAUUGUUGACACCACUACAGGUGGGUGGUGCUAUCCGAAGUCUUUGAAUCACCUUUUAUGUCUAUGAUUAUUCAUUGAGUAUAUUUAUAUUUGUAGUCAUACAUUAUAAGGUGUUUGGCAUUGAGCAAGUGAAAAUGUGAAUUCCUAUCAACAAUGAGAACUUGUGAACCUUAGAAUGUGGACAUAGAACCCUAUGAAUGCAUGGACUAUAACAAUAGUGAACUUGGUAACAUUCUAAUUAGAGAUUUGGAUAGCAUUGAGAAAUAAAACAGUGAAACUAGCAAAAGAGCUAGUUAGAGUUAAAGUGUGACAUUGGCUAUUAUUGAAUCCUCUAAAGGAGGAUCAGAUCUUACUCACAUAGUCUAUUUUUAGCUUGGUGGUGGUCGCUCCCCCCCAGGCAGUGCGCUCCGGAGUGGUCACUUGAGGGGCUAAAGUAUUUGCCCUUGGAUUAAAGUAUCUGUCCAACAGACGGUCCCGUCGGGAGGCAGCUUAGGGCCCGCCAGGGAUUGAGUUGGUGAGUUACAGUUAACCAAAUGGUUAGCUAGAUUGAUUGAGUAUUGGUACAUUACAGCAUGCAUGCAUACUUACAGUUUUCAUAUAUCAUUUCUUUCAGCUUUGUACAGGCAUUGUAGUAGUUACAUGUACAGUUGGUUACUAUCUGCUUCACUUUUCUGUCUACAUAUGCCUGAAUAGACCUAUUGGGUGAGUCGGCGAGGUCGGCGGCCGAACCCACUGGGGAUUUUUAGUAGUUCUCACACCAUUAACCAUACAGGUACCAGUGCGAGUGUUGUGGCCGGGGAUCGUGGCAAGAGCCCCGCAGCUUAGUUAGCUGACACCAGAGUAUAGUAGUUACCAUUUUGAGUUCAUGCGAGACAUUUUGAUGUACAGAGACAUGUAAAUGAAUGUAGUAUAAAGCAUGUAAAUAACUAAAUAUUUUCGUUAUACAGUUCAGUUUGAAAGUUUUAAAUUACAGUGAAUUUUCUGUUUAGUCAGCUUACUAUCACUUGUGAUUGUUGCUUGUCCUCGUGCAAGCCAUGUAUAUUGAAACGUUAUCCUGGAAAUUGUUUAUUUCUUUAUACAUGUACUCGCUGUUGUUGAGCCUUGGGCGGACAGUGGAGGUUCUGUCCGUUCGGCGUCUGUGCACGGGCCCGGGUCGACCAAAUUGGCGAUAACGGGACGUGACAGAUAAAGUGGUAUCAGAGCAAGUGAUAGUAAAAGUCUAGGAUGACCUAGGGGACUUAGGAGUGGAAACCUAGGAACCAGGAACGUGAGUGGCGUGACUUUAAUGAUAGCGAAAGCUAGACAGAUUGGGUUAGUUGUUAGUAAGUCUCUAAUGUUAAUUAGGGGCUGAUCCAAGUGUUAUUUAUAUACAAUUAAAAGAGUUAUGUUGGUGGCCAACAACAUAAAGCUAAAGGUUGAGUAUAAAUAUGCUUGAUUGCUUUCGCCUGAUUGGUUUUGUUUUACUAAUGUGAAUGGUUCGUUUCAGGAGAAAUGCCACCGCGACGUGCGACGAGAUCCACUUUGGCAUCACUUUCUGAGGUGCCAGAGCAGUCCGGGUUUGAUGAAGUUCAGGAGUUGCGUGCUCAGGUGAGCGCGUUAGUUGGGGCUAUGCAGAGACAGGAUGAGCAUAUAAAGAGUCUACAGGAUCUAGUGUCGCGACAGGCGACAACAGCAGCACCUGGGAGUCAGGAUGUACCUGUACCUGAGGCGCCGACGACCGUGCCUCCUGUUCCGCCGACUGUUCCUCCUAUGGCUUCUGGGCCUUUUGUUGUAGAUUCAGCCGUGGUAGAGGCUGAGCAAGUGCGAUUUGUAAAGGUGCUAGAGGCAUUUAUGCGAUUUAAUCCGCCUAUGUUUGAUGAAAAAGAAGCAGAUCCGUGGGUAUUGGAGACGUGGUUUACAGCGAUGGAGGCGUUAUUUGAGGACAUUUACACCCUGGAAAGGGACAAGGUUCCGUUGGCAGCGCAUUGUUUUGAGAAGGAUGCUUAGAUCUGGUGGCAAAAGGCCAAGAAGAAGUGCGCAUCAAACCUACCAUCGCUCACUUGGGAGGAGUUUCGCGAAAUGUUAUUUAUGGAGUACUUUCCCGAUAGUGAUAAAAGAAAAAUGAAGGAAGACUUCCGCAAGUUGAGACAGGGAAACUGUUCGGUACGGGAGUACGAACGGGAAUUUACUCAUUUGGUGAACUGUGUGCCUGGUAUGGUUCAUACGGAUCGAGAUCGGGCGGAGUACUUUGAGCGGGAGUUGCGACCUGACAUAUUCAGGACAGUCAAUGCUCUGAAGUUAAAGACAUUUGAGGAGGUCCUGGAUCGAGCUCUUUGGGUUGAGCGUGGAAAUGCGAUUGCGCGUGAUGAACGCGAAUCGUUUGAAAAAGAACGAGAAAGAGAAAAAGGAAAGAAGAGGACUACUAGUGGUGCCGGGGGACAGUCGAGCUCUAAACGACCCCCUCGGUAUCCACGUUCUCAGUCGAGAUAUCAGGGACCCCCGAGAUGUGUGAUUUGUGGUGGGAAUCACCGACCGUCGGCUUGUUCACAGCGUGAGGGCAAGUGUUACAAGUGUGGGCAGCCGGGACAUAUAAUUCGUGAUUGCCCGAGGGGAGCAUCAUCAGCACAGUCGACAGCUUCAGUUCAGUCACCUCAGAGGCAGCGUGUGGGUCUCCCACCUGCUAUGUCAGCUGGGCGUACUUUUGUGCCGCGCCAGUACGAGCCACCCCGACCUGCACCGAGUACACGGAUGGAUGCACCACGACCUGCACCGAGUGGUCGUGUAUUUGCAGCUCAGACUGAGGAUCCUGCCGUGGUCGACGAUGUCGUGGCAGGUAUUGUUUUACUUUAUGGUACUAGAUCUCGUGCAUUAUUUGACACUGGUGCAUCUCAUUCAUUCAUCAGUAGUUCAUUUGCUAAAACACAUGAUAUUGAGAUUUCGGAUAGGCCAGAUGCCUGGUGGGUCUAUGCUCCUGAGCACACGUUUAGUGUUCACGAGGAAUGUGCGGCAUGUCCCGUUCAGGUUGGAGAUUGGAUUAUGCCCGCUGAUUUGCUAGUGUUGAAGCAAAUGAAAGGUUUUGAUGUAAUCCUUGGGAUGGAUUGGCUUACAGAGUACUAUGCCACGAUUGAUUGCGAAAGUAAAAUUGUUACUUUUCGUGAACCUGGGCGGAAGGAAGUUGUAUAUCGAGCGUGCAAGAGUUUGCUCUUUGCACUGACUGUAUCGUCGACGAGGGCGAGAAAGUUGAUUAGUAGUGGAUGCACAGCCUAUUUGGCGACUGUAGUGGAGACUCAAAAGGAACUUCCAGCACUGAGUGAUAUUCCAGUUAGGGCUUGCAACAGUGAGGCGCGGCUCGCUUCGCUCGUGUUCGGCUCGAUAUUCGCUCUCGCUCGAGCUCGACUCGAAAUUAAAUGAGCGAGCUAUGAACACAAACUAAAAGGCUCGAAAGUCAUUUCAAAAGCGACUUGAGAUUACUGCGCUCGUCGAAUUAGCGACUCGAAAAGCUCGAAUAUAUAUAAUAAUAAUAAUUAUUAUAUAUAUAUAUAUAUAUAUAUAUAUAUAUAUAUAUAUGAGUCCGGCUACUAUACUUUUAUGAGUAUUGGCUCCCUUAUACUCAUAAGUUUUCGGCCUUUAGAUUUAUUUCAUUGAUUAUUUUCACCCGUUAGAUCAGACUAUUCAACCAAUUACCCACUCAACCCUAGGGGACCGCUAUCAUUUUAAGUGGGGACCACUAUCAUCCUAACCACACAUCCCAUCAAUCAACGGUUAAAAAUUUAUGAGUACAAGGGUGUCUAUACUUAUAAAAGUAUAGUAACCCUAGCUAUAUAUAUAUAUAGAGUUGGACUGGGCUACUAUUAGUAGCAAAAUCCUAUUGUUGCUACCAAUUUUUUAGCCUUUGGAUUAACUCUUUUCAUUAUUUCUAACCAUUGGAUUAAAUACUAUAACCCAGUAAGGACCACUCAACCCUAGGAGGACCACUCAACUCUAACCGACUAAUAUCAUUCUGACCUUAUAAUUUUUCAUCCAAGGGAGCUCCCGUACUAUAGUGUCGUUUUCGAUCUUCGGGCGUUCAAAUCAACGAUCCACAUCGUUAAAACUGAUAUAGGAUAUUUAAAGUUUUUAGAAAUAAAUUUUUAUAUUUUUUCGACAUAGUUUACUUUAUGAUCAAAACAUUUCAAAAUUGUCAAUUUUCAAUGACUAUUAUGACGAGUUGGGAGUUUAACGGUGUAGAAGAAUCUAAAUUUCUUCAAAUUUUGAUCGAAAAUACUUUAAACUAUAUAGAUUAAGGUUAAUAUUCUUGAUCUUGAAUUUAAAAGUCCUUGCUCAAAUUUUAAAGAAUAUUCAAUUCUCACCGUCCAUUUUGACAUAAUUUAUUUACUAAGUAAACGAUGUCGAAAAAAUAUAAAAAUUUAUUUCUAAAAACUUUAAAUACCCUAGAUCAGUUUUAACGGUGUGGAUCGUUGAUUUGAACGCCCGAAGAUCGAAAACUACACUAUAGUACGGGAGCUCCCAUACUAUAGAUAGUAUAGUAGCCUAAUUAUAUAUAUAUAUAUAUAUAUAUAUAUAUAUAUAUAGAGAGAGAGAGAGAGAGAGAGCACUAGGAAGAGGUGAAGGCUAAUAUAUUUAUGAGAGAAAUAAAAUCACAGCAAGCGUCAAUAUUUAAUUAGGGCCUAUAUUAUAACACACCAUAAAAAAAUAAAACACCCAACAAAACAAUCGCAUUUUCAGAUUUAAUGUCCUCGAACUUAAUUUUAGAGUAUACACGAAUUUAAAUUGAAUUUGACCUUGUUAUGGAGAGUGGCAGACGAUCAUAAUGACCUCAAAUAGAGAUGUGAUGAGCAACGAGUGGCACAUUGAUCAAUGAAAUAAUGUAUGCCUAUAUUAUCUCUGCAAAAACUCGAAAAUAUUUCCUUUAUUUUUUAUGAGUUCUUCAUUCCUUUCUAGUAUCUUUUUCACUGUUAUUGCACCACAAAAUCGCAAAUAUAUCGAACAGGACCAUCAAAUCCCAAAUUCCUAACUAUUUUUCCGCCCUCCUCUUGCCUCUCUCUCCCUCCAUUAUUUCAAAAUAAUUCUACGUGUUACCGACCGUCUAUUAAAGCUUGGAUUAAAUAUGACUUAAAAUAUAUACUACAGUCAUGAAAAAAUUCAUAAUAAUACGCACUUGCAUUGCUUGAAUUGUAUAGGGCAAUAAGAAUAUCGUAUAUGAUAAGAAAUAUAUUUGAAAGACAAAAAUAAACAAUAUUUUUGAUGCCUCUAACUCAAGGCAAAUAAAAAAGUCAAUUAUAAGAAGGGUAUAUUGAAAGGGCAAUAUAGUAAAUUUUACAGAUAACUACAUAACGAGCUUCACCAUUAACAUAGAUAUUGUAACUCUAGGUAUUUGUUAAAAUAUCGUUUGAACUAUCAUGAAGGCGUAUCUCUUUCAAUAUUAAUCUUUUAAAGGGGUUAAAUGCAGAAAUCAAAAACCUUUAAAGUUAUAUAGAGCUUCGUUGCGCCGCUCGAUCAUACUACACUGCCUCCUGAUACGCGAAAACUACUGAGUAAACAUACUGUUAGUAUAUUGAUAAGGAUAAGAGCGAGACGAGGGGCAAGAGGCGAGGGUACGCAUGAGCAAACUGUCCUAAUAUAUACUUUCAAAGAGUUAUCACUAUUUUAAACAACGGCUUGGGUCUACGUCAACGUACAUUCUCAUCACUUGGAAUUUAGCUGGUGAAGUUUUACUCUUAUACUCUCUUCUUUCGGAGAACCAAAUAACUCAUAACAGGUUCAAGGAGCAGUUCAUCACCAAAAGCUUACAUCAGAUUCGUACAAUUAUCUUAUUAUCUAAACUAAUGUGAUUACAUUUGUUUACACAAUUAGACCCAAUAGUUAUUGUAAUAGUGCUAACAAAAAUAAGACAUCAAUAUGAUAAAGAGUCUUAUUCAGAAUCGAUAGCAGGGUCCGCACUCGUGUUAGAGCUUCGUACUCUCGGGCAACGGUCUCAAAUAUAUUAGCAUUAAGGCCUCUUGCGCGUCAGAGAUUGGUCCUUUUCUGACUGCGAGGGACAAGAGACUUUUACGAUAUACAAUAUGCCACGUAGCAUUAGCCUAGAUACGUCUUUGAGAUACUUCAACCUUUAUAUUAAUAGCAAAUGCCACGAGAUGAGUCUACAACACUCGCUCGCACCUCGGUAGCUCUAUCCAACCCCUAAGGUCGCGAGGGUGGAUUCGGAUGAUUUCCCUAGAAUGGAUGUUGCCGGCGGAGGAUACCCUGAGAUUCGCCGCCCGGAUCGGAACAAAUUGAAGUUCGUUAUUCUGACUUAUGUUUCGGACGCGCCUAAAUUUCAAGACUCCGUACAGAAUCUAGCCACCUGCGAGUGAGACAGUGAAAGUAGUUGCAGAACUAUGAUGGAUAAACUUGAAGCUAUGUAUCACCUGGAGCUCCUGUUUGUUUGUAAAGAAGAAGACGAACCUUCGAACUGUGUUUGAUUACCGAAUAAUAUCAGCUCUGGCUUUCGAUACUCUGGUCGCUUCGACAAGUUGGAGUCGUUAUGCACAAAUUGGACCACAAAUCGACUCACGAUCGAAAGAUGUCGAGUUCGACACUCGAAUAUAAUGGCAUCAGAUGUUCAAUGUUGAGUAACGUCUCGUAGGGAAAUACUGUUACCCUUGUGGUUGCCAAGUCGGUAGGGUUAAAACGGCCGCGGACGUGGCCCCCGCAUCGCUGCGGCCGUGGCCGUGCCCCGCAACGGCCACUGAGCACACCGGCCGGCCGGCCCACAUAGGCCGCGCGCCUCAACAUUGGAGGCCCGACGCCCGGCCCGCACCCUGCGAAACGGCCGCCGUGCCGGCCGAGGGAGGCCCGGCCCCGGCACGCAACGGCCCUGGCCGUGCAGCGGGUCAAGGCAACGCCCGGAACCCAGGCCCAAGCAACUAUUGCUUUGGCCUGGGUUGCUCUCCUCGGGUGACGGUUGCCCUCCACCCGAGGAUAAGCUCCUCCCAAGUCUGCCCUACAACCCUGAGGCAUUAUUUUGUCCUAAAGACCAAGCAAUUGUCAUUGGCCAAAAACCCUUCUCAUAUUUUUUUCAAAAAAAGAAACAAAAUAAUAAAUAAAUGAAUAUUUUUUUUAUAAAUUUAUAAAUUUAAAUUUUAAAAAAAUACAGUUAUAUAAACAAUAAUUAUUUGUUUAUAUUUUUUAAAAUUAUAUUACAUUUUUUAAAAAAUAAAAAAGGGCCUGCCUCGAGACAACCGCCCGCCCGCAUCGCCCGUGCCUUCCGGCCCCAGGCCUUGCUGGGCCGGAUGGUAGGGAGUUCCGGCCCGGCACGGCCCGGCCCGGAUUUAGCCACGGGCCGGGCCGGGCCACUCUCCAGCCCGGUUUGGCCCGGAAAAUGUGGGCCGUGCCGGCCCGGCACGGCCCACAUUACACCCCUACCAGUGGGAUUGCAGAACUGGAUCUUCUUGGGUUUGUGCAUGUCUGAUGCUGAGUACCGGUACCUGUUGUCGAAUAUGAUAUCGAGCUCGGGUACCGGUACUGCAUCGGGCUGGUACCGGUACCCAGCGUGCGAGACUACGGAUUAAGGGCCGUGUAUCGGUAUUCAAGCUGAGUACCGGUACUCCAAGUGGAAAUGUGAGUUGGUGAGGGGUAGUUUGGUACUUUUGUGUUGACGAUUAUCCCAACCAACCCAGCCAAUAUAUAUAUGUUGGAAGCUUAGAGAAGCUCAGAUAGCUUCUCCUAUCCCUCUCUCUCUAGCUUCUCUCCCUCAUCUUGUUGGGCAAUUGAGGAACGAACUAAUUUUCUUCUUGUCGUCUUGGAGGUUCGCGAGUGUGCCGUGGUGGAGACCGGUUGAGGCCGUUGGAGGUCGAGCGAGCGCGCAGGUUUCCUCCUGUCGACUUCUUGCUGACGUUGGACGAGCGUUCGAGGUGGGUUAAUAUUUACCGAAAUCGUCGGAUUUCCUUCUAAGUCCUAAAAUUGUUAGCAUAUAUUAUUGGCUUUGUUCAUCCUGUUAGUAGCUCGAAUUCAUCGAUUUGCAUGUUCUUUAUAAAAUCUAAAUUUGGAGCAUAAGCUAGUGAUUUUAGAUAGAAUUAUACAUGAUGGACUGGGAUUUGACUUAGAAGAAUACUCGUUAAACCUACACUGUCAUUUUCUGAAAGUUACCAGAUUUAGCUUCAGGAGCUGUUGUUUUUUUGUAUCCCCGCUGUUAGUGCGUAUUGGAUACUCAGAUUAGUAUAGGGUGAGUUUACGCUCGUGCUGAGGGGCCGAGCUCAUUUUUCAGUAGAGUGUAGACUUUUUCGUACUGUCGGGUGCGGUCUGGUUGACGGUGGACCCAGAUUUCUGUAUCUUGCAUCAGAUUGUGCCAAGGGCACAUGAGUUUUGGUUGUUAGACCAGUUUGACCCAUUUGCAUCGACUACAGCUUGUGAGAGCCUGAUUGAACUUGGCAGAGACAUGUUUGUAUGCUCGGUUAGGUCGCGCCCACAAAUGCCACUUCGGAGUGAGUUUUUUCAUUGCAAUGAGGUCGCACCGUUCUGUUUGGACAGUCCUGGGACCGGCCAUCCCUGUGCGUGGUGUACGGUAUAGCUUGGUUACGGGUAGGGUGGGUCCGUUUGGGCAACCCUAGUGAGAUUGGGUCAGCGUGAUGCAUGUUUAUAUCUACAGAUAGUCUGUGUUGGUUAGCGAUAGUAUAGUGGUAUGUAGUUGUAGAGUUCUUUCCAGCUUUUCUUACUAUCCUUUGCACAUAUCAUUCUGUAAACUUAGUGUGUAGGCCGUUGAGGUCGGUGACGGUACCCACUGAGAACUACUCUGUUUUGCAGUAGUUCUCAUACCCAGUUGUUGACACCUUUUGCAGAGCCUUCGUCUGUGGCUGCUGCUGUUAUGAAUUCUGAUAGAGGCAAGGGAGUUGCGAGCUAGAGCCGUCCCUUCCCUAGUCGUUGCUAGAGGAGCACCCGUCAGAGGUAGUUUUUGGGUUUCUUUUUAUGUACUUGCUUGUGAUACUCGCUGGAGCGAGGUGUUAUGAGAGAUUUUUGUAUGUACAAUGAACUGUCACGCCGCGAAUUUUCAUAUUUUUUCAAGCACGUAAACAGAUCUACCGUAUACACAGGAAUUUUUCGUGUAUGCGAAGUGAUAGCUGUAACUUGCAAACAAAAAGGAGCUACAACCAAAGUCCAGACCUGCUAAACAAACACAUGUAUAUGUGCAAUCGGAGAGUAGUGCGGCGCCUACGGGGAAGAAGAAGCCGCCGCCUACGGGGGAGCCUAUAGCAGGAGGGGACGGAGGCAGAGUGCGGCGGCUCCGGAUCUAGUCGGCGAGCGCCAGGCAACUCCGAUAGAGCGAGACGGCCACGGCAGAAAGGAUGACGGCGAGCGUGAUGCAUCUCACUAUAAGGAUCGCGACGAGGAUCCCGCGGUCGCUGCCGGCGGACCCGGUGUAGAAGUUGACGUCGUCGAAGGUGAUGCCGGUGAAGCUCGGCUGCACACCCUCGGCCGCCCUGCGUCGCCACCACAAGCUGGCAGCCAUCUGUAAUAAUGGCCCGGACUCGUCGCAACUCGCCGAUGAUGAUAACUGGCUGAGGCGUGGAUGGUGGAGAGGAUGAUGGUGCUUUCCGGCAGCGACUCCGAUGUAAUCGAGAUAAGAAAAAAGGGUAAGAGAAAGAGAUAGUGAUAGAGAUAGAGAGUAGAGAGUAAGAGAAAGAGAUAGUGACAGAGAUAGAGAGUAGAGAGUAGAGAGUAGAGAGUAGAGAGUAGAGAAGAUUAAGAAGAGGGAAAUGGAGAGGUUGGGAAAUAGAGUUGAGAGGGAUGCGGAGUAGAGAACAAAGAGGAAAUGAGGGAUAAAGAGACUUGUAUAUAUUAAAUUAUAGGUUUAAUUUUUUUUUAGAUUAUGAAUUUAAAAUUUUAAAAAUAAUUUUUAUAGAAAUUAUAUAAUGUAAUAAGUAUAUGUGCAACCGGAGAGUAGUUGAUUUUAUUUGCAACCGGAGAGUAUUCAAUUACAUGUGGAUGUGAUAAAUCGUAUCUCAUAUUACACACUACUCACAUUCUAUAAAUAAGAUUAUGUGAAAUCUUCUAUACCACGUGGCUAGAAUAGCCGAUCAUUCUCAUAAAAUACAUAUUAUAUAUUUUUCAAUAUAAACAUAAUAUGUUAAGAAUAAAUAAUAUACAUCCAUAAUUUUUUCGUAUUAUUUUAUAUUAAUAUUAAUAUAUAUAAUUUAGAAUAAUAUAAUAUAAUUUAGUUUUAUAUUUAUUUAUAUUUAUAACUUAAAAUAAUAAAAUAUUAUUUAUUUAAUAUUACAGUGGUAUUUAUAAAAUGAUAUUUAUUAAAUUUAAUUAGUAUGCAUUAUAUACAUGCCAAUUGUAAAUAUCAUAAAAAUUGGUUACGGUAAUAUAUAUAUAUAUUACAUGAUAAAAGUAAUUCAAAAUGAUAGUAAAAUUAGCAAUUUUUUUAUUAAACAGAUAAAUGUUCAUAUUCUAAAUAUAUUUGUUUAAUUACAUUAUAAAAUAUAUUUUUUCAAUAUGUGAUAAAAAAAUAAUACAAAUUUAUAAACGUAUUUUUAGAUGUUGAUGACGAAAAUCUGCUGAUUUAUAAACGUAUUUUUAGAAAAUUUGCUGAAAGCGAUAGCUAAUAAGGCUGCAUAUGUUCGAUUAUAUUUUGAUAAUGAAUUAUAUUUGUUGUUCUGUACUAUUUUUUAGAUAUUAAAUAGCAUAAAAAUUUAGUCAUGUAGAAAAAAUAUUCUAAAUUGUCAAAUCUCAAGUAAACCUUAUGCAUUAUAAAAGAAAAGAUUUACAAGAUUUAAAAAAUAUAAUAAAAGAGAUACUAGCAAGAAAACUAUGUGGGUUUGUAAAUGUGAUGAAAUAAAAAUAUAAUAAGAGCAGCGUAAUUAAUUUUUUAAACUUUAUUUCGGCGAGGUAUAAUUAUUUUGGUGAGUAUAUAUAUGAAUGACACUGUUAAAUUACUGUUAAUGGUUGAUUUCACUUAUAUUGUAGUAACUUUAAUAAUUUGAUUGAUUAAAAUAUUAUAUUUUAUUAUUUAUCUAAUUUAGAAAUGUCGGAUCGAUAUAAUAAAUCGCGCUUUUCCUUGUGGGCUUGUGAAUGUGAUGAAACAAAAAUAUAAUAAGGGCAGUGUAAUUGAUUUUUUAAAAUUUAUUUCGGCGAAUUACAAUCAUUUUGGUGAGUAUAUGAAUGACACUGUUAAGUUACUAUUAAUGGUUGAUUUCACUUAUAUUAUAGUAAACUUUAAUAAUUUGAUUGAUUAAAAUAUUAUAUUUUAUUAUUUAUCUAAUUUAGAAAUAUUGGAUCGAUAUUAUAAAUCGUGCUUUUCUUUAUGAGCUUGUGAAUGUGAUGAAAUAAAAAUAUAAUAAGGACAGCGUAAUUGAUUUUUUAAAAUUUAUUUCGGCGACCUAGAAUUAUUUUGGUGAGCAUAUAAAUGACACUGUUAAGUUACUAUUAAUGGUUGAUUUCACUUAUAUUGUAAUAAACUUUAAUAAUUUGAUUUAUUAAAAUAUUAUAUUUUAUUAUUUAUUUAAUUUAGAAAUGUUGGAUCGAUGUGAUAAAUCGCGCUUUUGCUCGUGGGUUUGUCUAAUUUAGAAAUAUUGGAUCGAUGUGAUAAAUCGCGUCGUAUUAUACACACAACUUAUUUUGUACCGCAUGACUAGAAUAUUCAAUCAUAACCGUAAAAGUAUGUUAUCUAUUUUUAAAUAUACGAUUAAUAUGUUUAGAAUAAAUAAUAUAUAUAUAUAUAUAUAUAUAUAUAUAUAUAUAUAUAUAUAUAUAUAUAUAUAUAUAUAUAUAUAUAUAUAUAUAUAUAUAUAUAUAUCUAUAGAGUUGAGCUAGAAUACUCUCGAUAGUAAACGGGGCGUUUUACUAUCGAGUUGUUUUCGAUGAUAGAGCUUCCAAAUUGACGAUCGGCUCCGUUAAAUAUGAUCUAAACCAUUUAAACUACCUAGAAAUCAAAUUUCACGCACUUUCGAUAUUGUUCUUUUAUCCAUCUAGUGAACAAAAAAUGAAUGGCUGAAAAUGAAUAUUCUUUAAAAAAUGAUGAUAGGAGUCUUGUAAUCAAGAUCAAGAGUAUAGAUCUUGUUUUAAAUAGUUUAAAGAAUUUUCUAACAAAAAUUCAAUUGAUUUGGAUAUUUUUACACCGUUAAACGAGAAAACGUCUCUCAUCCACCAUUAAAAUUACAAAUUUUGAAACCCUUUGAUCAUUAGGCAAAUGCUGUCGAAAAGAUUUGAAAUUUGAUUUCUAAACACUUCAAGUGGUAUAGAUCAUGUUCAACGGAGCCGAUCGUCAAUUUGGAAGCUCUAUCAUCGAAAACAACUCGAUAGUAAAACGCCCCGUUUACUAUCGAGAGUAUUCUAGCUCAACUCUAUAUAUAUAUAUAUAUAUGACAUAUUUCUUAUUAUUUUAUAUUAAUAUUUAUAAUUUAAAAUAAGAUAAUAUAGUUUAGUUUAGUACUAUAUUAAUAUAUAGUUAAAAUUUAAAAUAAUACAAUAUUAUUUAUUUAAUAUUAUGAUAAUAUUAUAAAAUAAUAUUUGUUACAUUUAAUUAAUUUAUUAUACGAAUGUUUAUAAAAAAUAUUGAUUUAAUAACAAAUUUUUCUAAUUUUCAAAUCUUUUUAGUAUCGCGAUAUCCUGAUGUGUAAUGUUGUAUUUUUUUAGUUAUUUUUACUAUUUGUAAUAUUGACUUAAUAAUAAAUACUUUUGUUUUCGAUUGCAAUAAUACUAAAAUAUUUAUAUAUUUAAUAAUCCAGAGCUAAUAAAAAAAUACAUGUAUAUGUGCAAUCGGAUAGUAGUGCAGCGUCUACGGGGAAGAAGAGCCGCCGCCUACGGCGGCGCCUAGAGUGGGAGGGGAUGGAGGCAGAUCCAGUCGGCAAGCGCCAGGCGGCUUCGAUAGAGCCAGACGGCCACGGCGGAAAGGAUGACGGCGAGCGUGAUGUAGCUCACUAUGAGGAUCGCGACGAGGAUCCCAUGGCUGCUGCCGGCGGCCCCGGUGUAGAAGUUGACGUCGUCGAAGGUGCUGCCGGUGAAGCUCGGCUGCGCGCCUUCGGCCGUCGAAGGUGCUGUCGUCGACGGUGCUGUCGUCGAAGUUGACGUCGACGAGGAUCCCAUGACAUUACUUAUUUGAUCUUGCAAAUAGAUCAAUCAGAUAAACUUCCAUCAAUACUGUUUUGAAAGUGUGGUGCUCAAAGUAUCCAUUAUUCCAGAUCCACUUUAGGCGAUAGAGGGGAAUUAAUUUAUACUUUAUCCGCAUAUUUUCUAUCGCUAUCAUUUUACAUAUAACUCUACAACUAAGGAAGAGUUCAAUAGAGGCUUCCCAUCAACCCACCAGUUGAACAUUCCAAUUUGCUUUUGAAUUGUUUGAGAUUUAUCCUGAUAUAGCCAUCAGUCAAGAUGGUAAUCCCAAAAGUUCAUCUCAUGCAGUUUAUUUCAAGGAAUAUAAUUUCAUUCUACACAAGCCAAAAUAGAAAGAGAAAGAAAUAAGUAACUGGGUGAUUUCUUUCUCAAUAUUCCAAGGUACUUAGUCCAAUCAAAAGAGUCUCAACUCCAUCCUAUUAAUUCUUCUAUUCAAUCAUCCAUCAACUGCUUUGUAGAGUUCAUAGAAUAAAUGAUUGAACAAUCCCCUCAAGACCUUCUUUGUCAGAGAAAGCUACAAAAUUCUCCAUAUUGCUACUCCAUCUACCAAAUGCAUCUAAUGCUCAAAACUGAUUAAAAGAUCCACAGGUCUCGAUAUAGCUCAACUAUUUAAUUGUGUCUCCAAUUGAAAUCACGAUAUUCGACACAUAGUCGAACAACUCAUCCAGCCUCACAACAAGUGAGAUUGCCUCCCCACAACGAAGCACUAGGCAUAAAAGUCUCUCUACUUGCCAAGCUCACCAUUUGUGACUUGAUCAGCAAUGCAACACUUCUCAGAAUUAUCCACCAUUUUGAGGAUUUUUUACUCAUUCUAAAUUAUCAGCCAAUUAAGCUCCAAUCUUAUAUAAAUACCCAACUUAGGUGAAAUAACAGUCUUCGCAAUCAGCAAAAUUAAACCUCAAGAUACAUCACUUUAUGCUCAACUUCCCGAGACGAAUCAGUUCAGUUCGCACCACUCUUGGUACAAAGUACCUCACAAGUUAGAUUUCAAUCAAACAUUCUACCACAUGUAAGGCCAACCAAUUUGUUGGCACAUACAAAACCAUCUCACUAGACAGAGCGUAUCAUUGACCAUUCUGCUAUUUCAAUCAUUCUCUACCUGCAUCCAGGAAAAGAAUCAAUAUUGUUUCACUCGGCAAACAGCCGAUUAGGGAUGGAAUUAAAACAAUCAUCUUAACAUAAUCAGGUGAUAAGAACACGGCACAACAUACUAUCUGCAGUAAUCAUCAUUGCCGUCACACUUGGCUCUAACAAUUUUGCUGACAUACAUCACUGAGUGUUUCUUGCAACAAAGUCGGUGCAGACACCUUAGUCAACAUGUUAUUCUCCGGGCACUCAGAUCGAAAAUGGCCCUCCUGACCACAUACAAAACACUUUCCUUCCGCUGAGGGCACUUUGGUGGAACGCGUGGACCUUCACAUAUCACACAUUGCCGUGAUGAUCGACGUCUCAACAUUCUCUGCUUAGAAAAAGAACCGUGUCCUCAAGGGUGACUCUUCUUUACAUUCCUUGAUGAUUCCUCAACCUGUAACUGAUCACCUUUGGUGGUCUCCUUUACUCUCUCAUUAUAUUCCAUGCCUCUUCUUACAAUUAAAGUGUGAUCUGCAACUUCAUAGAAUUUCUUAAGAUCUAACAUCUGUUGGUUCAACAAGUUCUCUAAUCGUCUGAUUCCCUCAUCUUGUCGGCGUAACGCUUCUACUUGAAGUAACACUACAUUCGACUGUCGCUCUACUACUCCAACUAAAUUAGUCAACUGCUCAUUUAAUUCCCGAAUCUCGCCAGAUUCAGAAGGUGCAAACUUUUCUGGCGCAGUCGUCUCAGUCACUAUAGAGUGCAUCUUUCACAUCACAAGCUGCAACAAAUAAAAGAUGCACAGGUUAAACAACCUAUGCUAUCGUAUCCCACUCAUAAUUAUAAGAUUCCAAUCACGCGAAAGUAAUGAAAUGAUCUCCCACUAUUCCCCGAUAUCACGUUGUCGGCCGCCAAUGUGAUCUUGCAAGGACAUAGAGGUUUUUUUCAUUUCAAUCCAACUCCAACGCUUUUGGAGUUAUAAUUAUAACCCAAUCAUAAUACUUUCGCCCAAAAUAGUCACAAAAGACCCCGUCUCUCACGUUCCUAAUCCUGAUCGCCCAACUGGCCUAAGGUUUACUAGGUCCACUAAGACUCAACCCUAAGCUCUGAUACCACUAUAAUCUGUCACGCCCUGGACUUCAGCGGGAGCUCACAGUGACGUGCACAGACCCGCCGUGUACAUCAAACAAUCAUAGCGUACACCAGGCGUCUACAAAGAGAAUGAACAAUCUAGCAACAAGAUCAUAACUUAACUAAGUAAUCAGAGCACAACUAAAAGUUUAAAACUUAUACAACCCAGAACUUUAUCACAAUGUAAAGAAAAUCAAAUACCUUCUACAUACUCUCAGAAUACAACACUGAACUACAUCACAAUAAAUUGAUAAAGGUUCAUCUAUUUAUCGUCGAGAAAGCUCUAGCUAGUCGUUGACCCCUCGCCAGGAACCCUAGCCUUUCCCGCGGUGGAAGGCUCUGUAAAAACAACAACAAAGAGGCCGUGAGAACUAUUAAACAAUAGUUCCCAGUGGGUAAGCCGCCGAGAGUGGCGAAGUACACCACUAGGUCAACUGUGGCAUGAGUAAAUAGCAAUAAAUAAGUAAAUAACUGCAACAGGUAUGAAAAUAAACCAAUCAUGCUAUUUGCUCAGAAAUAAAUAUAUAUCAACAGGUUGCAGGUACUAGUUUAUUAUAAUAAAUUCCGUCAUUCAUAUUAAUGGUAAAGCUGUCAUUGUUCACCAUUCUAAGCAAUGUCCACUUAUCGUUUAACUACUCAAAGUUUAAAUCUUGUAAGACCCACCAGAAGGCUGUCUGGUAUGAAGACCCACCCGAAGGCUGUCUAAUAUGAAGACCGGCCCGAAAGCUGUCUAAUAUGAAGACCCACCUGAAGGCUGUCUAAUAUGAAGACCCACCCGAAGGCUUUCUAAUAUGAAUACCCACCCGAAGGCAGUUUAAUAUGAAGACCCACCCGAAGGCUGUCUAAUAUGAAGACCCACCUGAAGGCUGUCUAAUAUGAAGACCCACCCGAAGGCUGUCUAAUAUGAAGACUGUAAUCCAUGGUACUAUAUCACAAUGACAUCAUGGGAUCUCAACUUGACCUAAGGUCGAUACUGUAGUACCAAAUCAUAAAUUGCUAUCAACUACUUGUUGACAUAAUUCACUAUCAAUAGCUAGUAUAACUUAAUAAGUUCAAGCUUUACAUUGUACUAGUGAUUCUAUCAGGCUACACCUGGUCACUCACUCAUAGUUCUCUCACUACUCCUUACACAUAAGGAAAGUGGUUUACUAAAGUCAUGCUCAAAGACUCAUGACACAUAUUCUGUAGUUCAAUGUAAACCUCCACUACUUGGAGAGAACAAAUGCUAUGCAAUUACAUCUAUUUGAUUAUACAGAUAUGUCAUCAUGUUCAACUCUAGUUAUUCACUAGAUUAUGUUCAUACCAUAACAACCAUGUUGUGUUACAAUACCAGUUCUAACCACAUAACUAGAUCAAAAUCAUAUAAGCCAACACUAGAAAUCAUUCUAUGAUAACAAUAAUCACCUUGACAGUACACGUAUACGAAGCCUCUUUAACUGUACUGUUCAUAUAAUUUCCAUAUCAUUACAUAAAUAUGUAGUUUCACCAUAUAUGAUAUGCUGAAAGUUCAAUCAACUUGUCUACCGUAUACUACUGGAGGAAUUUAGUUCAUAGAUACAUUAUCUCAAUACAUCAUUCAUUCAACUGUCCAAUUGGCCAAACGUCAUGUUCUUAGGUUAUACUUAGUGCCCUCACAAUCAUCCUUUAACAUAACUACAUGCUAAUCAAGCAAGCAGUUUAUAUAAACCAGGCAAUUUCAUAUAGAUAGAGAUUUUAUCCUGUAUGACCUAUUCGGCAUUCACUGCAUGUCCCCAUACAUUCAUAUAUCCAUACAUGCAUGUGAAUAUGUCACUAUUCUAAUUCAUAAUGUCAAAGAAGACAUAGAGAAAAUUCACCCAUUUCGGAAAGGUCCGACCCACCUAUUAGUCGCCGAUUCUUGUCAAAGUCACACUUGCAGGCAAUCUGGAAUCUCUAAGUCCUCUAAUAACAAAAUUGACAUCAACUAAGAGUUGAUUUUAAGUAUUUAUAAUCGAGCCUCUUAAUAUCAUAUAAUAGAGAUUAAACUCUUACCUAGGUUUAGACUAAAGCUAAACCUCUGCUUAAUUCAGGUUGAAGUACUCUCAAACUCAGUUUAAUUCAGCCCAAAAGGGUCUCAAUGUUCAACCCAAAGUGAUCUUCGCACCUGCUGCGAACUAGUUAGAAAACUGCAUUGAAACAAUUGCCGAAACAUCUAAUUCUAACAAUAUCUCACCUUGCACAUGGUUACAGCUUGAACUUCUGCUUUAGUUCAGGUUAAGGUACUCACCUUAACCUCCAAAAGCUCCUAAAUAUCAACCAAGAACAAUCCAAUAACCUUUAGCAACCUGCUGCGAAUAUUACUUAAACAGUGUUAGUACACCUGUGCAAUUCUUAGAAUAUGCUGGAAUUAGGUAUACAUAGAUUUCCAACCUGAAUUCUUACUUCCCUCUCGUUAAUUUUCAUCCAAAAUCCACUCAUAAGAUUGUAAUACUCAGCUUAAAGUGAAGAUUCCAGCUGCUGAGAGCACAACUUCCCAAAAUCAGCAUUCAUUACUAUUAAUGAUUGAUUUCACAUAUAUUAUAGAAAACUUUAAUAAUUUAAUUGAUUAAAAUAUUAUAUUUUCUUAUUUAUCUAAUUUAGAAAUGUUGGAUCGAUGCGAAAAAUUCCGUUUUUCCUUAUGGGCUUAUCUAAUUUAGAAAUGUUGAAUCGAUGUGAUAAAUCGCGCCGUAUUAUACACACAACUUUUUUUUGUACCGCAUGACUAGAAUAUUCAAUCAUAACCGUAAAAGUAUAUUAUCUAUUUUUAAAUAUACGAUAUUAUAUGUUUAGAAUAAAUAAUAUAUAUAUAUAUAUAUAUAUAUAUAUAUAUAUAUAAAACAUAUUGCUUAUAAUUUUAUAUUAAUAUUUAUAUUUUAAAAUAAGAUAAUAUAAUUUAGUUUUGUACUAUUUUAAUAUAUAGUUAAAAUUUAAAAUAAUAUAAUAUUAUUUAUUUAAUAUUAUGAUCAUACAUAUAAAAUAAUAUUUGCUACAUUUAAUUAAUUUAUUAUACGAAUGUUUAUUGCUAAAAUAUUUAUAUAUUGAAUAAUAUUUGUUAUUGUAGAAAAUUGUAAAUAUUUUCACGUACAUUUUUUGACAAGAAUGAAUAAUACUGUGAAUAUAUUAUAAUAUUACUCUUUGUGAAACUGAACGAUACUAAGGCCCUGUUUGGAUGCAUAGUUAAAAAAUUCCAUGAAAUUUUUAUUCUGUGGUUUUGGUCAAAAUGAAAUACGGGAAUCCUGUGACUACAAAAAAAUUCCACGGUUUUAUUUUUAAGCUGUUUGGAUACAUAUCGUAUAAUUCCACAGGAUUUAUAACAAUUAAAUUUUUAAAAUUUUAAAAUUAAAAAUACAAAAUUCCAAAUUUAAAAAUAAAAUUUUAAAAAAUUAAAAUUCAAAAUUUAAAAAUAAAAUGUUAAAUUUUAAAUUUUAAAAUUAAAAAUUUUAAAAAUUAAAUAUGAAAUUCAAAAUAUAAAAUUUAAAUUAACAUUCGAAUUUGAAAUUUAAAAUUUGAAUUUGAAUUUUAAAAAUUAAAAUUUUAAUUUCAAAUUAAAAUUUUAAAAAAUUAGAGGUUCUCAUUUUAAUUUAAAUUUCAGAAUUUAAAAUUAAAAUUUAAAAUUAAAAUUUAAAAAUUUAAAUGGAACUAAAUAUUGUUAAUGUAUAAUAUAUUCUCGUAUAUAUAAAUAUAAUCAUUAAUAACAAUAUAUCUAUAUAUGAUAUAUUAUAUCAUUUAUUCCUUAUAUAAUAUAUAUAUAUAUAUUAUAUAUAUAAUAUAAGUAUAUAAUAUAUAUACUACUACUAUAUUAUAUAGAAAGAGUAAGACUACUAUGCUAUCGGAAGCAUGGAGCCUUCCGUGCUUCAACUCGUUUUCGAUAUUGGAUUUCAAUCCGUCGAUCGGCUCCGUUAACUUGAUCUAAGUAUUCGAAGUACCUAGCAAACUAAAUCUUUAUGAUUUUACGAUUAUGCCAUUUCCUACUCGAUACGAAGGGUCAAACAUCGACGGCUGAAAAUAAAAUCUAACAAAAUAUGAUAGUAUGACAUUAAAUUUUUAAAUCAAAAGAUAUUGAUGCUUAUUUUAUAUAGUAUACAAGAAUUUCUAUCAAAAUUUCACGUGAUUUGGAUUAUUUCUACAAACACCGCUAACUUGGCAAACGGGCUCAUACGACCCAUUGAAAUUUGUGAUAUUUGCAGCCCAAUUCUCCACUAGGCAAUGAUAUCGAAAAAUCAAUAACAAUUUAUUUCUAGAUACUCCAAAUACUCUAGAUCAAGUUUUACGGAGCCGAUCGACGUUUCUGCAAGUCGAAGCAUCGAAAACGGGGUCUGCAUGUCGGUUAGCUGGUAAGGCACGGAAAGGCUCCGCUUCGAUAGCAUAGUAGGCCUCACUAAUAUAUAAUAUUAUAAUAUAUAAUCAUAUAUAAUAUAUCCAUCAUAUACUAUCUACAUAUAUAUAUAUAUAAUAUAUAUAAUUAAAUAUUUUAUUUUGAUAAUUAAUAUAUCGGGCUUUUGGGUCGGGCUCGGGUCGGGCUGGGACGUGCCCAAAUAGGCCCAAAAUUUUUUCGGGCCUAAAUUUUUAAACCCAGCUCGAACCCAAAGUUAUAUUUUUAAUACCCAAAGCCCGGCCCAAACAUGGCCCAUUGGGCCGGGCCUUGUUUAGGCCCGGGCCCAGUUCCACCCCUAGUUGUAUUUAACGAUUUUUAAUCUAAUAAUUUUUAUUGUUAAUUUUUAGAUUAUGUGAAGUGUACUAAUAACAUAUAAUUUUUUAAAUAUUAUCAAUUCCAGCUAUCAAAAUAGAUGCUAAUUUUUAAAAAACGAAAAUAUGUGGAAACCUCCUAAACUAUAAGUAAUUUUGAAUUCCCCUAAAGUUGAAUUUUUUUUUUUAUUAAACGCCAUCUUAAUUUAUAAAUUUUUAAAAUUUCUUAAUUAUUUUAAUUAGAAAUUUAUUAAUCUUAAUAUUGAUAUCAUAUUUAAAAAAAAUUAAUUAAAAUAAGUUAAUGUUGAGAGAUCUAUUUCUAGUCCUAAUUCACCGCAUCACCUCUAGACUACAUAUAUUCAUUUUUUUUUUAAUUAUUCACUUAUUUUUUUAAAAAAUAAUCUUUAAUGCUUGAGAUAAAUUGAUAGCUAAUAUUAAAAAUUGUAAUCAAAAGAGAAACAUAGGUUAACACGGUAUAAGAUGAGAUGGUGCAUUAGGUCCAAAAGACAAUUUCUGUGAUUUCACUGGCUUUGUUAAGCUGUGUUGAUUAUUUCCUGAACUAAGUUCGCUUUGUCAUUUGUUGACCAUACAAAUAAUUUGUUUUCAAUAGAGAAAAUAUAUAAUGAUCAAUAAUUUUAAAAUAAAAUAUAAUAUUCAUAUAUACAAUAUAUAAUAUUUAAAUAUUUUAUUGUACUUUUUAAAGUUCUUUUUAAUGCAUAUUGUAGUGUGGGUCUAUGGUGCACCAGGCGCGUGCAAAUUGUCUUGCCAUACUGUAAGAUCUAAUUGAUUUCAAGUUUAUGCAGAGGGGAGAAAAUGAGCUGGGUUGUCGACACGUGGCUUCCGUGAUUUCAUAGGACUGAGAUUAAUAGGAAUUAAAAAUAAUUAAUAAUUAAUUAAUAAAAAAUAAUAAUUAAUUAAUAAUGAAUAAUUAAUGUUGCGUUUUAUGUUAUCAAUAUUAUAGAUAUAAAAAUAUUAUAGAUUAAUAGAUAGAUUGGAACGGAUUAGUUAGUAGAAAUGAAACAAUUGGAAAUUAAUAGUGCAAAUCGACCGUCCCUAGAGCAAGUGGCAAAGGGUUUGAUGGUUGGUACCUGAGACCCAAGUUCGAAUCCUAGUUGAUUCAUAUUUUCAGUUAAGUUUAUUUCUAAAUAAAAUAAACGAAGCGGGUAGCGUGCUACCUAUCUUUAAANAAAAAAAAAAAAAAAAUAGUGCAACGGGGAGAAAGUUUUCUCUCUCUGUCUUGUAAUGAGCAUUAAUUAAUGGUAAGUCUAAUAAUAAUCUAUUAUUUAUAUGGGCCAAAAUUUUGGCCCAUCAGAAUUGUCCCCCAUUUUCUUAGGGCUUAAAGAUUCAUGUUUAUUUUCUUGUGUCGAUCAAGAGUUAAGCCCAAUAAAUGGCUCCCUAUAAACUAAUGGAUCAAAUAUGGGCCUAAAGUCAGGCCUAAUAAAAUGUUUUUUAAUUAAUUUCAUCAUUUUCUAAAGGCUAAUUCGAAAACAUUGGUUCAACUAUUAUCAAGCUGACAAAAAAAGCUUUCCAGUUGGUUUUUUAUAAAUGAAUUUAACCAAAAAAGAUUAAUUUUAAGUAAAAACUUCAAGUAGGAGACUUAAAAGUACUUGUCAAAUCAAAAAAUAAGGGGCUUUCCUCAUUUGCAAAAAGACCUUAUCUUGAAAAGUAUUUUCAAAUCCGAUCCCUUAUGUGACAGCUCCACAAUGCCACUGUAAUAGAAUUAUAGAGAGGUUAAUUUGGUGCACUAAACAUGAUGAAUGGUUCUUAGUUUUGUUUAUGCUUUUUGCAUUGAGAGAUUGCAAUAGGUGCAAUAUGGUGAUUUCUCCGAUUUUGUUGGAAAAUAGAAGAACAUAUCUAACUGUGCAUCUGUCCAGUACUAUUUUAGCCCAAUAGUAUUAAACAAUCCUUUAUACCAAUGACACUUAAAUUGUAUAGACCACUAUACUGGCUAAGAUUAAGGUUGACCGUAAUUUGGAGAUAAUAUAUCGCAAGAUAUUUAUAUCCAGAUUGAAUAGCAUUCUAAGAGGACGAGUGAAUUAGGUUUCCAGUGUGUAUUUUAAUUCCCUUCAGAGGAGGACUGAUUCAUCAAGAAUUGACUAGUAUAUAAUCCUGCAACCUAGGAACCUCAAUUUCAAACUCAUUGUCAACUCAAUCAUUCUUAACCUCUAAGAACUUCCUCUCAUUGCCAAUUUGGGCAUGUUUCAUGUCAAAUAUUCAUGCUUACCCUGCUUCCCAGGCUCACUUUUGUUUCAAUCCUAAAAUCUUUAAGAACGUCGACAUGUCGAAUUGUAAACAAAAGAACAAUGCUAUUUUAAAACAAGAGCAAAACUUCUUCAAACAGGUUGUUUAAGAAUACUCCGUCUUAAGCAAAACAUUUUGAUCCUAGCCUUUUCCUUUGAGUUGGGGUGCAAGUAAAAGGGAUAUCCACUUAAACCUGUGUUAGUUUUAGGAAUUUCAAAAUGUUUGUUAAAUUGGUUUUCAAAUGCGUCGAUGAUUAAAAUUCCAAGAUAGUCCAACAAUCUCGAUAUUUGGUCAUCAUGAAUCAAAGCACUCAAAAUUUUGAUAAUUAAGUAGAAUGGUUUGAAAUUGAUCAUUCAUCUCAUGUCUUGAUCUACCAUAUAAUCGUUAAAGAAGAAACCAAAUCCAACUUUUAGAAAGCGCUUCUAGAAUAUAGUUAGCUGAAAGAUUGUACCCAAAUCAGAGAUGUUAAAGCUAGAACUCACUUGACAAUGAAAAUGAAAGAAAAGAAAAACUAGACAUGGUAGACAGUUAUCUGGCCACAGGACAUUGUGUUGGCUACUUAUUAUUAGCUACAGUAGAUUCAACUUUCUAUUCCGUAACAAUAGACCCAGAAGACUAAUAAGUUGAAUUGGGUGAACUCAACAAGUUGAAUGGGACUACAAUCCACAAUAGAUCUAACGAUAAAAAAUCCAACAAUGUAUCUAACGUCCAGAAAGGUUGAGUCAGAUCUAAAUUCGUGAAGUGUUGUGACUGAGCCAUUAAGUGCGAUAGGUGCGCCCUUUUCUAUAAGCAUGUACUUUUCGAUAAUUGGUUAGCGCUUAUGAUCCACAAAAGGUAUCAGAGCCGCUAACACCGGUUCGAUUCCUACAUCGAACUUCCUACUCCGUAACAAUAAACCUAGAAUACUAGUAGAUUGAGUGAGGUUGCGGUUUAUAAUAGAUUCAUACACAUCGCAAGGUCGACUAUAUAAGUGGUGAAACAAAAAUGCCAUUGCCAACUCAAACCAUAUGUACCAUUGUGUGGAAUUCAAAAAUAACCUCAAAAUGUACCUAAAAACAUAAAUGCAACACAUGAAGGGAAGCACAGUUACAAUCACUUAAAGAUAACAAGACAUGUAACAAAAAGGAAGUGCCAAAUGAUGAUGAUGUUCAGAAACAACCUUAUUCCAAACUUCCUCAAUUGCUUUGUCAUUUUGAUAUGUAGAAUGUGACUUCAGAUUAGUUGCAGAUUCUUCCAUAACUGACAAAGAUUCUCUAAUUUUUGAUCCCUCGUCUCCUCAGCGGAAGUGUUUCCCGCAGUCUGUUGCUCUUGUAAGAUCCAACAUGCAACUCUCAUUAUAUCUUCUUCAAAGAAGAAAGUGGCCAUGUCACUGUGAAUCAUAAAACCAUCGAGGCUGUCGCGAAUGCUCUCGUGGCUAUCACGAAUACUUCGAGGGAUGCCUUCCCAUGUCAUCUUCCUGCCAUUAGUUUUAACAGCAAGGCCGUAACUAUAUUUCCUUGCUUCAUUGUCCUCACCCAUAAAACGGACAUAAGCCAAAUAUAUCGGCGAGCCCGAGAGAUGAAAUGACUCAAAGAACAAGCAGAAGUAGUGUCCAUAGCAGUGAAACACCUACAGAAAAACAGGGGAAAACAACAUCCUAUAUAAGACCUAACAUACGAAAGAAUAUAUGUUAUCUAAAUAAACUGCACCAAAAUAUGAAGUUCUGAAAACUAAUAUCUACAAUCGCACAAUAGUUCAAUAACGUUUUUCUUGUUAAGAACUCUACUCGAUCAGACAACAGUAUGUCAUAACCUCAUAAUUCUUUAAGGCACAUACUAUUAAUAAGAUAAAAAAUGUAACUAAGCAGUAGAAAAAGCUUACAACAGGCUUCCAAGUCCUAUCCUGAAACCCGGUUUCAUAGGUUAUGAUGUAUCUCUCGCUGUAGGAGCACCCGUUACUUGUUCGACCAUUGUGACUAUCCUUUAAAUGCGCAACAAGGAAAGAAAUGUUCCCGACGACAGAGCAUCGAGGGUAAGGACAGUUGAAUGGUCUGAAGCUGCAUUGUUCUUCAUGUUUGGAUUUGAUGCUGUAUGGAAGGACUUCUGGGCAGCCUGAUGACUGGUACUUGCAGGAAUGCUUAAAUUUCUCAGCUACCUUUUCCAGCACCAAACACCUGAUGUCCCCCAACUCCUGUCUGCAGGUGGGGCACUGGUUGCCCACUUUAGAUUUGCAUGCCGAGCACAAAGGAUGCCCAUUUUUGCACUGUAAAAUUGAUAAAGUAAGUUGUAGGCUAUCGAUCAUGCAACGUCGACUGCUGAUGUGAUGAAUCAAAUAAGAACUGUAAUAAAUCGAGCAGUUAGUCCUAGAAAUGCGCAUUUGUAAGACAUUCCACCGUAUUUUUCGCACUCUGCUCUGAGUGUUUGACGGGAACAAAACAGAAAAAGCAGCAUGCGGACACUACUCUCUAACACGAGCACGAGCACGAGCUGGGCACCGCAUCGUCUUGGCUUUCCGGUUCAGUUCACUUAUGCUUAAAGCUUAGCUUCUUGGUUUGCGUUGCGCUACCUUGGAGACGUGCUGAUAGGAUAGCUCAUGGUCGUUGUAUCGCUAGAAGUGAUCGCCAAGAUCCCGCAUGUGGAGGGACAAUCUUAUUUUUAGGACAGUGCCUAUCACACCUCGACCGACAAGCCUCAUCUGAACUUUAUAUUUCUAUAAUGCUUCGACAAUGAUUCAUGCAUGCGAGUUUUUUUUAAAAAAAAUUGUUUAAUGCUUUGUGAUUAAAAUAUUAAAACAUAUAUAUUUGUACCAAAAAAUAGACUCAUUUCCAAGUACAGUUAGAAUAGAUUCAAUAGAUUAAUAAUAAUAACCGUAAUAAUAAUGCUAACAAUAAUCACAGAGGCCCCUGUUUUUAGAUGUGGGAAAAAAGUUAAAUUAAUUGAUUGGUUAAAUGCAUACAGGUCCCUAUAAAUAAAGUGAAUUGCAACUAUAUUCUUACAAAGUUCAAUUUUCAGAUGUUGUCUCUAUAAAAAUUCUAAUAUUUUCAAGUAUGUCCCUCUAAUUUGUUACUAUUAAAAAAUUAUUUAUAUUUUAACAGCAAAUAAGUGAAAUAUUAAUUUUGCCAUCACAAAUACGUCCCUCCAAAAGCCACAACAAGUAUAAUAUAAGAGAGGUAAAAAUGUUAAGUUAUCUCACAAACUAAUCAGGGUUAAGUAAGUAUUUAACUUAUGGUUAACUAAAUUUUUCUACGAAUUCUAACGUCAAGAGCAUAUUUGAAGGCAUUAAGAUUUUUACAGGAACAACAUAAAAAAAUUAAACUUUAUGAAAAUAUAUUUAUAAUUUAUUAUAUUUGCAGGAACUUAGAAUGCAAUUAACCCUUAAUUUGGUAAUAACUUGUGCAGUAUGGUAGUCCUUUUCUGCGAUCGUGCGGUGAGAAGUUGGAUUUUAGCCGACCGUAACGUUCUCCUAUUAGGGGAAUUCUGACCAAACCAAAAGUCAAACAAAGACUCUAGAAACAGAACAUAUCUACUGCAAUCCAUGCAGUCUAAAAACUUUAAGAGGGUGUGGAUUUAAGACUCCCUAGAGUAUAUAUAUAUAUAUACAAUAGUUAUAUCAAAUCCCUUCAUGGAGUCUCUAAUUAAUAUUAUUAUUAUUUCAUGUGUACAAGAUAAUUCAUAUGCGGGGAAUUGAUUCUGCACAUAAUAAGGGAGAAAUAAUCGAACUCACUUGGUAGAUGGGAGGGUGCAUGGUGAUCAAGCAGAUGGGGCACUCGAGCAGCUCGCGCAGGCUGGGAUCUUCGUCGCCGCCGUUUCCGCCGCUCGCGCUGCUCGACUGAUCGCCCAUCGAACCUCACCCGAUCUCCUUCUCUCUCUCUCUCUCUCUCUCUCUCUCUCUCACUCUCUCUCUCUCUCACGCGCACUCGCGACGCAAAAGCGAGCUAUGAGAAGAGAACAAGAAGAAUUUUUAGAAGAGAGAGAGAUGAGGGAGCCGAAGAGGAGGGAGAAGAGAGGAAGGGACAAGAGAGAGAGAGAGAGAGAGAGAGAGAGGGAGACGACUAACGGUAACGGAACAGCUCUUUAUUUCUAUUUGCUUUGCUUGAAGCAAGCUAACCAACCACAGCGUUUUCUUCUUUUUUUUUUUUUCUUUCUUUGGGUACAUAGCACAUUUAGUCCCCCAACCUAUGAUUGUGUUAACACUUUGAUACUCAAAUUUUAAUUUAUGAUAAUUAUUACAAUUAAAUCGUAUAUAACCUAAUUUUGUUGAUGAAAUAUUUAUAAAUUGCUAAUUUAGAGAUAAUAUAAUAGUAUUGUAAUUGUCUAUGUGCUAAUAAUUAAAAUGUCACAUCAUUUUAAGUUGUGAAAAAUAGUUUAGUGAUGAAUAGUAAUAUAAAAAUUGACGAAGGAUCGAAAGUUUAGUAGUGCACUUAAAAAAAGUGUAUAGUGCAGCAACUAAUAAAAACUAAAAUAUACUGCAGUGAAGUAUAAUUAAGCCUUAUUAAAUUUACUUAUAAUUAAAAACCUAUUGAGUUAUUAACCUUCAUAGAAUUUUUAAUCAAACUAGUUAGAAUAACGUUAAUUCAAAUAAAAAAAUUAUAGAGAAAUUCUACUUGAGAAGGGAAAAUUUUGAGAGAUAUAUUUGAACAUGGUCCACAUCUUGUUGAGAAAGUCUCCGUACACCCAAAAAAGAAUGUAGACCUUACACCCCGAAUUUUAUAAUUUGAUUAACUCAAAUAAUUUUUAAUAAAAAAUAAUUUCAUAUAGAUUCCUGCAAAUAUAAUAAAUAAUAAAUAUAUUUCUACAAAGUUCAACUUUUAUAUGUUGUUCUCAUCAAAAUCCUGAUGCUUUCAAAUAUGUCCCUACCGUUAGAAUCCGUUAGAAAAAUUUAGUUAAUCAUAGGUUAAAUAUUUAACCCUGAUUAGUUUUUGACAUUUUUAGCCCUCUUAUAUUAUACUGUUAUGAUUUUUAGAGGACAUAUUUGUGAUGGCAAAUUUGAAAAUAUAAAUAAUUUCUAACGGUAACAAAUUAGAAAGACAUAUUUGAAAACAUUAGAACUUUUACAGUGACAACAUAUGAAAAUUAAACUUCGUAGUAAUAUAUUUGUCAUUCACUAUAUUUACAAAAAUUUGUAUGAAAUUAACCCAAAAGAAAAUUGAUAUGACAAGUAAAAUAUUAAUAGUAUGGAGAUGGAGUUGGUACAAAAUGUACAUCUUACUUUCGGGUGUACCAACAAUAUUACUCUUAUUUUUUAAACAGAAAUUGAAAUAACUGUAUUUUUUUUUUUUUUUUAUUUCAAACUUGGUAAUAUAAUCUAUAGGAAAAUUUCAAAAGAGUAUUUUGGGAUAAGCAAUACAUCUAUGCAAGAGAAAUUCAAUUCAUGGCCAAAACAUUUCAAAAUCGUCCAAUGUUCUUACACUAAUUUUUUCUGCAAACAAAUUAUAACAUGCUAUCUACUUUAUUCCUUAAUUAUACUGUGCUACAAAUGUGAGGCAAAAAAAAUUUUCUAACACUUAUUCUCUGUUAAAAUUAUUCUAAUUAAUUUAUUAGAUUAAAUCAGACUUUCAAAUAGUUUAUUUAAAAUGUCGUUUUGUGGCGACAAUAGAGAUAUUUUGAGUCUUAAACAUAAGAAUAAGUGUUCACUAUAUAAAAUAUUAAAAAGGGUAAACUUCAAAUACUAUCCCUAUGGUUUCGCACUUUCUCACUUUAGUAUCAUACGGUUUAAUGUAUAUUAAUUUAGUAUCUUGUAGUUUUAUUUUAUUUUUUUGUCAGCUCCUCCGCUAACAUUUCGUUAAAUUAUAUACAACAAAUUUUAGAUACGUCACUUAGUUUAUUGAAUAUUCACUUUAAUACCUUCUAGUUUUAACUUUGUUACUGAUUUAACGAAAAAAAAAAAAUUGACGAAAAGAAAAAAAAUAAAAUUAUAGAGUAUUAAAUUGAUAUGCUUUAAACUAUAAUGUUAAAGUGAGAAAAUGCGAAAUCAUAUGAAUAGUAACUCUUUAAAGUUUAUCCAUAUUAAAAACUAUUUUCCAUAACUUAAAACUACUAAAAUUUUUCUAGAGCAUGGUUUCACAUCAUUUCACACAACUAGUCUAAUAAAAUAUUAUUGACUCGAAACAAGCUGCGUGGAAAAAUACAUAGGAGGGGCUUUAAUUUAAUCUUAUUAAACUUUUAUUAUUGUAUUGAUCUAUAUUAAACAUCUUUUCGCGACUAUUUCUCCCGUUACCCGCGUGGAUUCAUACUCAAAAUCAUGUGGUAGGUAUUUUUUCUUCUUGUCGCUCAUUAAAUUAAGAGUAAACUUCAAAUACCCCCUUAUAAGUUUACACUUUUUUAUUUUAAUAUUCUAUAAUUUAAAGUGUAUCAAAUUAGUCUCUAUGAUUUCGCACUUUCUCACUUUAGUACCAUGUGGUUUAAAGUGUAUCAAGUUAGUACUCUAUGAUUUUAUUUUUCUCUUUUUAUUAUCUAUUUCACUAAUUUUUUUCGUUAAAUCAAUAACAAAGUUAAAAUUAAAAGGUAUUAAAGUAAAUAUUUGAUAAAUCUAGGUAAAAUAUCUGAAGUUUUUUAUAUACAAUUUAACGAAAUAUUAACGGAGGAAAAAAAUCAAUGACAAAAUUAAAGCUAAAGAGUACUAAAGUAAAUAUUCGAUAAACCUAGGUAGGAUAUCCGAAGGUUUUUGUAUAUAAUUUAACGAAAUAUUAAUAGAGGAGCCCACGAAAAGAGAAAAAGAAAAUCAGGGUAUUAAAUUAAUACAUUUUAAACCACAGAAUAUUAAAGUGAGAAAGUACAAAACCACAGGAUACUAAAUUGAUGCACUUUAAACUAUAUGAUACUAAAGUGAAAAAGUACGAAAUCACAGGAAUUAUAUUUGAAUUUUUCCCUUAAAUUAAUCAACUUUGUCGUUAAACAUGAUUAUUUAAUUAACAUAAUUGAAAAUAUUAUGAUAGUGGUACUGUACAUGAUGUCACAAUGGAACACGGCCAUCAUAUUUUCCUAGCAAUUGAAUAUGAAACAUAAAUAUUUAAUUAUCUUGUAGCUUUCAGGUAUAUAAAAAAAAUAGUUAUUUCUCAAAUAUAUAUAUUUUUAAAAUAGUGCUAAAACUAGGACUCCCUUUGGAUUUUAAUUCAGCGGCGCUUCCUAUCAAACCUCUUCUUUUUUUUUCUCUUUUUUUUUUUAACUAGAAACUUUUGAAUCCUAGCUGUUGGUAUCUGAGAUCCAAGUUUGAAUCCUAGUUGAUUCACAUUUUCAGCUAAGUUUAUUUCUAUAUGAAAUAAACGAAACGAAUAGUAUAUUACCUUUCUCUUAAAAAAAAAAAAAAAACUAAAAACUUUGAAGGAGGUGGUAAACCCGGCAACCGUUGGGGUUAAGGAUGGUAGAGAUAAUUACAAUCUUUUUGGUUGUCAAACUAUGAGGCAUAUGACACUUUGGUUCUCAAAUAUUAAUAUGUUAUAAAAUAUGGUUCGAACUUUUUAAAUUAUUGUAAUUAAGUCUCACAACUUAAUUUAGUUGAAUAAAUAUUGACAAAUUAAUAAUACAGAAAUAAUAUGAAAGUAUUAUAAUUAAUGAUACGAUAAUAGUUAAGAUGCUAUAUUAUUUUUAUAUCAAUAAUUUGUCAAUAUUUAACAAACUAAAUUGGGUCGUGGGACUUAGAUUGUAACAAUUCAAAAACCUCAAGAAAAAAAUUUUAAUAAAUUAAACUUUGGAAAUCAAAGUAUCUUGCGCCUCAUAGUUUGAGGACCAAAAGUAAAAUUAUCCUUUGUUUUUGAGAAAACUUGUGACUUCAAGUAUAAUCUCCUCAUUUUCCAUUCAUCCAAAUAACACAAAAAAACAAUUUUUUUUUUCUAAAGUAAUAAUUGAAUUGAAAUGAUUAUGAAAGUUUAGAUACUUAGAGCAAUUAAAUAUAAAGGUUUAAAAACAAAACUAAAUUGGCUGUGCUUAGUUACAGAAUUUUUUAUUUUAUUUGGAUCAAAAUCACAGUUUAUAAAAUCCGUGGAGAUUUUUUACUGUGCAUCCAAAUAGGCCCUUAGCUGGAAAUGUGAAUCAACUAGGAUUUUCUUUAGCUUGUUCACUGAAGCUUGUUGGGGUUUAUUAAUAUUUUGGAUGAUUUAAAACUUUAUUUUGAUAUUCGAGUCCUUGGGAAGCUUUUUAUAUCUUACUAUACCCUAGUCACUUUAGUUAAGGUCUCAGUUUAUCUUUUUACCCUUAUUAUAGUUGGAUACUGUUUUUUGCAUGCGAUUUUUUUGAAUUUUUUUUUUUACUAUUUUACAAAGUAAAUAUUUUAAAAGACAUAUUUCUACUAAAAGAAAGCCUAUAUUUCCAAUAAAUCCAUCGAAAGCAUAAUGUGUUUAAGCUUGAUUUGAUUUUGCCAUGUUCGUUGUAACAUGAGGGCUAAAUUACAGUAUAUGAUAGCAGAAAAAGGCACCAAAUAAUAAUAAAUUAUAAUAAAUGCUGAUUAUACUCUUUCCUUCAAUAUGACUAGGUUAUAAUAAGUACAGCUUCGUCAUAAUUUUAUUUAAAUUAAAAAUUGCAAUGAUUAAAAGCAAUGCUUGAUAAAAUAUUGAGCAAAUGCACAUAAAAUGUUACAUAAAACAGAUGUUUAAUAAGGAUUAUCCUGACGAUGAGACCGUUGAAUCAACCAUUCAUCAAAAUGCAUAAAUCUCAAAACAAUAUGGACAAAGAAUUUACUGGCCUCAUUAUCGGAAAACGUCCCUAUUAAUUUUUUAGGGUAGAAAAUAAUAUAAAAUUUAUCUAAAUUGUAGAUCAUUUUGAGGUGGUUAUCCACCCUUUCAAAAUUUUGAUUUUACUAUUUGACCCUUUAAUUUGUUCAAUUUGAGCCGGUUAACGACACUUUGACUUUAAAAUUUGAAUAUAUGUUUAUCUUUAUAGAUUUAAUUAAUUCAUAUUCUUAUAAUUCUCAUAAUUAUAAAUUUAUUAAAAUAAAUAAUUAGUUUGAACUUUAAAGUCAAAAUCCGAUGAGUAAUUGAAAUCAAACAAAUUAAAAAGUUGGAUGGUAAAAUCAAAAUUUUACAAAAUUGAUGGAUCAUUCAAAAUGGUCCCUAGUUCCAAAAAGUUCUAUACAUUUUUACCCUUCUUUGUCAUUUUUUUUCUUAUAUUUUUUUUUCUUAAUUUUAUGCCAUAUUGAACGACAUGAUAUACUAAGCUAAUUCUUAAAUAGCACCAAGCUCAUUUUGCAUGUUUCCACAAAUGAGCCAAAGUAUAGCAUGCAAAUGGUAUGGCUAUCUCUACAGAUUUAGCUAGAAAACUAAGUAAAAAAGCAAGUGACAUCCAUAUCAGAGAAGUGUUUCAUGGCAGGGAGGUUCAUCGUUAAUUCAAUCAAUCUCCAACUUCUCUGCAGAUUAUGUCUAAAUCCAAGAAAAUUCUCAUUCUCCCAGUGAAGUCAAACAAAGUACUAUUGAAGGAGCAUUACACACCAGGUGUUUCUAAAUCUGAUACUGCUCUCCCAGGAAACAAAAUGUACAUACUCAUUACAGAUUUAUUUCGUCACAGCAUCCAUAAUGAUAUGAUGGUAACAAGCAGUACACCUCCUUUGCAAAUAUUCUGAUUUUCACAUUGCACUUCUGAAAAAAUUAAAACAUACCUUUUAUAAUAUCCACCUACAAGUGAACUAACAUUGGUUUUAAGCAUAUGGGGGGUGAGAAAAAAAGAAAAUGAUGAGCACAAUAUUUAUGAGAGGAUUUCAUACAUUUUACCCUAACAAGUUGGUACCUAAAAUUAGAUUGAAUCGGGCAAGAUGAGAGUUUCCGGAAGGAGGGCUUAGCAACUCGGUGGCAUGGAGGAUCGCAAAACAUUUGAUUAUGGAAUCUGGUUGGGUCAAAUAAUCCCAGAAUAGUGGGAUUCUUGAAGGGGUUUGAAUUCAAAAGUCCUGUUUUAUCUUGCCAUGCACACUGCCAACCUAUUAUGAUCCUCAACACGUCUGAAUCGCUAAACCAUCCCUCUCCCCGUUUUAUCUGUAUCCAAUCUAAUUAUGGUUGCCAAAAGGGCCCUAGGAGUUCUCUCUCAUCAGAUACAAUGAGGUGGAAAGAAUUCAAAUACAUCGAUCACUGGUUACCAACUAAAGGGCAUCAUCAACUCCGGUUUGAAACCAAAUGAUUCGGAAUCCAAGCCAGUUGCCUCUAAAUGGACGGCAGUCAGUAUUUCCUUCUCGUCACAAAUAUUUUCAAAAUUGACACCAUAACCAAAAAAAUCACUGUUUACGUGACCAUUCCCCACUCUUUCCCCCACUUUUGUGCUUGAGCUGGACCUCCGUAAUGCAAAUAUCCUUUGAAGCAGCCUUGCACAUGUCGUAUACAGUAAGUCCUGCAACAGCCACAGCCGUCAGUGCUUCCAUCUCCACACCCGUUUUACCGGUAGUCGUAGCCUCUCCUUCUAUCUCCACGCUAAAUUCCUCCUUAUUAAGAGUAAGAUCAACACGGAUGUGUGUCAGCGAAAUAUUAUGGCACAAAGGGAUGAGACUGCUCGUCUGCUUAGCACCGUUGAUUCCGGCAAUUUUCGCCACAUUUAGAACGUCUCCUUUUGCUAUCUGGUUGGAGGAAACGAGAUUGAACACUUUUGGGCCGAGGAGUACUCUGCAAUUAGCUAUGGCGACUCUUUUUGUGUCUUCUUUUGAGGAUAUAUCUACCAUUGUGGCCUGCCCACUACUGUCAACAUGAGUUAGUUUAGGUUGGCUUUUGACAGAAGGAGAACCUAGCUGGGGUUCCUUAGAAGCACUUAGGGUAAAAGCACCGCUUGAAGGGGCUUCGCCAAAUAUCGACUCCAUUUCCUGAGAUUAUAGGUUACAUGAAAAUGUAAUGGAGAGAAUAAUAGAUCAGUGCAAUGAUAUAGAAAUCAUUUGUGAGUGGUGUAUACUAUUGCUAUCCAAUCAUUAAGAUUAUUGAGUUUAGUAUGCAUGUUAUACAGCUCUACGCGAAACAGAGUACCAACGUAUACAUGAUAAAUGUUUUCAGCCAAAGAAAAAUCAGAUGGAGAUUAUCAGUUUGCUAACAACUGUCAGUGAUUUAAGCACAUAUUUACGAAUAUAAAUGCUCUACACAUGCUUUAAACUACAUCAUACACAGUAUCAACUAUAAGCAAUUUGAUAAACAACAGUAUCUCAUACUCUCAGGCCAAAUUGGACUGAUAAAUCAUUUAGCAUGCAACUAUAAACCACGGUCAUAAUAGUGGAGGUAUAAGUUCACCUAUUCGGUUAUUGAGCAAAGAAGUGAUGAAACAGAACUCAGAAGAUAGAGGGAAGAGUCGCGGAACUUUUCUAAAAUGUUAUAAAAUGUAUAAUCAAUGGUAAUAAGCAGUUACCAUGAAAUACAGUCUACUUUGAUUGCCGAAAAAUAAUCACAUAUUAAAGAACCAAAUAUGCAAUUAUUUGAAUAUCACCAUAAGUACCACCUCAAUCUACUAGUUUGGAACUAGAAUGUAUGGAUAUUAUAAUAAGCUAGCUCUUUACUCAUGGAAGAGGCACAGAUACACCUCAGUUUAAUAUAUUUGUUUGGACAAAUUGCACAAGGGUUCACAAAAAGCCUUUCUUCAAUUCUUUUGUGUGCUAUGGUACAAGUAUUUUCCAAUGAUAAAGCUUCAACAUUUCAUUGAUUAUUGUUAUGGGUAAUCUAAUCUAUUUAGAAAUCAGAGGCCAUUGUGUGGGCUACAGCCAAUUGUCACCCUAAUCUGAAAGUAUACGCCAGAGAAAGUUUCGCCUAUACUCUAUGGAACAAGAUUUGCCACUAAUUUAGGUCAGGAUGGGCAGUAUGUAUCCAGUUGACAAGGUAUGGAUGCAGAACAUUCCCUGUCAACUACAAAACGCAAAGAACCUUUUUCGACCUUUUUCCAAUAAAAAAAAGAACUUGGAAUAUCUUUGUGAUCACUUUUUUUAAACCAUUCAUGCAUUUAAAAGAUUUGAUUUGAUAAAAUCAGGUGUUAAUCCGGGAAAGGAUUGAUUCCCCAACUUGCAACCAAUCAAUUUAAGUGCAAUCAACGAAAAUUUAAUGAAAUUAGUAAAAGAAUAAUGGACAUAUAUGCAGAUUGCAAUUGAAGAAUUAAUCACUUAGUUGCAAUAGAGUUUAAAUUAAAUUGAAGAUUAAUUUUAGAAAAUUAAGUUUUCCAAAAUUUUAAUCCUUAAAUGGAAAUCUAGCUUAUUAUUUUCAAGAAACUUGUUGCCAUUAGAGCAAUUCCGUCAAUGAGUUAAAGAUACUGCAUGACAAGUGACAACACAAUUAAGAACAAUUAAGAUAGAAUUCAAGAAACAAACAGGAGAAUAAAGAAAAAUCUAUGGCAAGAGUAUAGGUAUUCAAGUAAAGCAUAUUAGUGGCCUGCAGCACAAAAUUCACCCUCUGCAGGGUCGUCCUAUGGCUAAUAAAAUGCCAAGCCCAGUGACAUGCCGUGAUACUUGCUGCAGUGAUUGUGUCUUUAAACAAUUAAUUACUUGUUGUUCUUGAUCAUUUUGCUGUGGGAAGCUCACUUUUUAUUUGAUUACUUAAUUAGCAAUGCUUGCAAGUGAAUAAUUGUCCUGAAUAAAUAUUACUCUUCUAUCAUGAAAUAAUUUCAUGUAUUGCUUUCUGAAGAUUUGUAAUACCAGUUUCUUUGUUCGUGACAUCUUGUAUAUGCAGCAUAGUUUUUUCAGAACCCCAAAGCAGCAACUUCAUGAAGAAGUCAGCGCUACUUCAGGAAAAAUAAUAUCACUAGCAUUACAAAUAUGUAACCUCCUUAUUCAUAUAUUAGGUGUUUUCAGCUCUGAAAUGUGAGAUGAUAUGGUACUUUUCACCUAAAGAGGAGCAUUAAGCAUUUGAAAUAAUAACUAGACAGGCAGCUUUUCGUUAAGAUAUAACAAGCUACUUUAAUCGAAUGACUCUUAACUGGUCAUAUGCAGUAAUGAUUUCUUAAAUGGCAAAAAGAUUCAUUGUAGGUCAAUUCAUCUCGGAAGAAAGAUUGGUUACACUGACAAGCGUAAAGAGAUUACCUUAUUAAGCUCCGUGAUUGCAUGAUCAUAACCAUCGUUACUGACGAAGCGUCUUCCUAGAGAAUAGUGAGCUCUCAUUGAUCUUAGAAGCAUGCUCCGAACAAUAACCAUUGUAAUGCUGAUAUGUUUAUCUAGAUAACUGAAAUAGGGGAGAAACAUACCUAAUCAGAGGAUCCAGAACAGUAACAUACUUUUCUCUACACAACAAUCAACAAAAAUCUCCUAAGCAUUAAGAAGCUUCAAUAUCUCACAGCAAUCCAAGGAAAGGAUCUCUAUGUCCAUGCUGGAAAGAUUUUGUACAGUUACCUCUUUCUUUGUUACUAGUAGAGGCAAGCUGUUCAAUAGAAUCACUUUCGUUUUCCGCAUAAGUGUGCAAAUUUUGAAAUGCAAAUGAACACGAAUAUAAGCUUCAAAAACCAACCUUAAAAUCGGAAAUCAAAACCAUGGAUGCCAGCACAUUGAUUUGGAUAAGCAGAAGAUGAAAAAGAGGGAAAAGCAAAAGGUGGAGCAGUAUGACAAGAAUAGUCAGUGCCUAAAGAUGCGGCACUGAGAGAAAAAAGGAGGUGACAGGGUAGAGAAAGGGGAGGGACAAUGAAGGGUGGAGGAAGGAGACCACAGCCCAGAUAUCUGAAGUAGAAGGCAGAGCAGGGGUUGGGUGCGGAUUUGUGUGCAUAUUUUGGGUCUACUUGCACCCCAUGCAUCCAUACACAUCAUUCCUCAGGGUUUUUGGGAGACUAACCCUACAGAAUUUUUUAAUUAUAAAAAUAGACAUUCAAAAUUUUUAUUUAUAAAAUUAGGCUUAAACGGUAAAUAGUUUACCUUUUUUAGAUUCACUGCUUUCUAGAAGUAUUAAGUCAUUCACCGCUUUUCCCAAAUUUUUUCUCAUCCGAACUCCGAAGGAUGUAUAACAUUAAACAAUAAAAAUAAUUUUAAUGUUUUGAGAAAGCAAUAAACAGUUUACCGCAUUUAAAAAACGGUGAAUCGUUCACCGCAUAAGACUAGUUUAUAAAUAAUUUUUUUUGAAGGCCUAUUUUUACAAUUAUUAUUUUUUAAGCCUAUUAAUAAAAAAAAAUUCUCAUUCAUCGCCCCCUUAUAUUUGAUGGUAAAUAUCUUAAAAAUAUAAUCUAAUUAAAUAAAUACAAUAUAUAAUAUGUAAAGAGCCUAUAUACAAACAAACAUAAAAGUUCUGAAAGGCCAUUAUCUAGCCAUCAAAUAGUCCCAAAAAAAUCAAUGGUAGAGAAAAGAUUCUUUUUUUUUUUUGGGUGUGUGUUGAAGGAAUCAGUGUUCAAAAUUUAUGAUUUUUUGAUAUGUAGGUCUUUUGAACUUGAGUUAGAUUAUGAUAUUGAAGCCUCCGUGAUAUAAUUUUAGGGCCUUAUCAUAAAAAAAAAAAGGUAAAAAUGUAUAGAAACCUUCUCAACUAUAUGCUUUUUUGAAGAAGACUCCUCAGCUAUAUUUCAAUUGAGCCCCUCUCAAUUCGAUUUAUUUUAUUUUAAUUUUUAUACUAAGUUAAAACUUUUAUUAAAGUGAAUAAUCAAUUUAGAUUUAUUUGCCAGAAGAACAAUUAAAGUUAUUAAAUUUGAUGAAUAAACUGAUGAAUUUGAUAAAAUCUCUAAUUUAAUUGACUAAAAUCGCUAAAUUCUAGAAAAACGAGUUUAAUUAGAUAAAUAAGGACUACAAUUUUUUAAAGAUGAUUUUAUGCAUAAAAAAAAAAUCAUGCAUUUUGAAUGCCUAUUAUCUGGCCAUCAAGAAAUAGAGGAUGAACAAUUCAGCGUUGGCAGAAGGACAAAGUGGUUACCGUGAGAGGAGAUGGCACAGCCCGAGGGGAGGCGGGUGUUGGAGUGUGAGGGGGGUCAGAGUGCGAGGGGCGUCGGAAGACUGCCUCUACCGUCGCCACUACGGGGGGUUUUCGAUCGCCAGCCACACCACGCCCACAAUACUCUCCUCUUUCUCUCUCCCUCUCUCUCACCCCACCCCCAAAAUUCAUUCAUGUAGAGCCCUAAUACUCUCUCUCUCUCUCUCUCUCUCUCAAAUAGUAAUGGAAGAUACCCAACACCCUCUCCAAAUUAUAUUUAGGGGCCAUAUUGCGCUAUUAGUAAUGCUACAUUAUUUACUGAAUUAUUAUAUACGAAAUAAAGCAAAUGCACUAAUCUGAAAAGAUUUAUAUAAAAUUUUUAUAAUCCCGGCAGUAUAAGGCCAACCAAAAAGGCCCUGGAAUAAUCUUGCGCUAUUACUUAUCAUGUAUUACUAGCAAAAUUACGUAACGUUAUAAUUUAAAAAGCUCUAUGAAUAAUUCCUAGUAAUCCUGGCAGAAUAAGAUGAACCAAACAUGUCUAUAGGUAAAAUAUAUAAGAAAAAUUGCUACAAGUACACUCCAUAUAGAGUGCGCUUCUUACUCCCUUUACAUUCUUAGAUUUAAAAAUCCUAAUACGUUUUCGUUAAAAGAAAAAAGAAAUUUAUAUGGCAAACGAAUAAAUCUAUAUUAUAAAGAGCCUAGGGCGUAAGAUCCACACUUAUGAUAUGGAUAUAUAUGUUGGAUUGGUCGAUAUAUUAUUUUAUUAAAUCAUGACAGUUGAAAUUUUUAAGGGUGAAAAUCGAAAACCUAGCUCCAAAUCUUACAAGAAAAAAAAUCUUUGUACCAAAUAAAUUAUCAUUAAUUAAAUUAUUCUUACCAUAAUUAUUUAAUUCAGAUUCGGCAAAAAUUCGGUACGGGUAUAGUACGAAUAAAAUUUGUAUCCUAUAAAUUCAUAAAAAAUUAUGGCUAAAAAACGGAUUCGCCAAUUAUUUGGAUACGUGAUUUAUAUGGAUAUUAUACGUUCACCAAUUAAAAAUAUAUGAUAAAAAAUUCGGCUAGUAAAUUAAGUUUUUUUUUCGUCUAGAUUUAUGCUAUUAGCAUAAAUACUCAUAAUUCCUAAGAAUAUAAAAAUAAAGAACUACAAAAUUAAGCAGAUUAAGUAAAAAAAGAAUAGCAAACUAUAUUAUGCCCCACAAUAUGUAAAUAAUCAAGCAAAUAAGCGAUUAAGAUAGUCCAUAUUUAAAUAUAAAACAUAAAGAUUCGCAUACAAGCAUAAUUGGAAAUUAAAUACAAGAUAAAGCAACAGUAUCAACCAUAUAUAUAUAUAUAUAAGAAAACUGUUAUAAAUAGAAAUCAAAAGUAAUUAGGGAGAAAAAAAUAAUAUUGCUAGGAUUCUAAAAAUAUGGCACUUAACAUGCAGAUAAUAACAAAUAUUAAUUUCACUCAUAGUCAUGGAAAAUAUGAAUUUGUAGUUUUGUACCAAAUGAAGUUGGCGUGCCGCAGCGGAACAGCGGAACUCGGAACCAGAUUGCGAGUGGUGCGCGGCCACGCAGGGUGUUCCGAUGGCGAGUGGCUCGCGGCCGGGGUGGUUCCAAACUUGAGAUGGUGAGCAGCACUCGGCCUCGCGGAGGGUUCCGGUUGAGCGCGCAGUUUUUCUUCUUUUUUUUUUUUCCGUUUUGAGCGAGCGUGCAAAGAGGAGCGGAUGGAGUACGGACAUCCCAACAUAAGUCCUUUUUUUUUAAAAAAAAAAGGGAAUAAUUCCGCGGUAGCGAAAUAUUCGUCAAUAAUAAUCUAAAAAUAAAAAAUAUAUUUUUAUUUUAAAUUUUGAAAGAAAUUUGUAUACGCACUAUUUUAUUCAUUUGCUUAUUUAAUAAUUUACGAAUUCACUNGGAGGGCUCCGGUUAAGCGCGCAGUUUUUCUUUUUUUUUUUUUCCGUUUUGAGCGAGCUUGCGAAGAGGAGCGGAUGGAGUACGGACAUCCCAACAUAAGUCCUUUUUUUUAAAAAAAAAGGGAAUAAUUCCGCGGUAGCGAAUUAUUCGUCAAUAAUAAUCUAAAAAUAACAAAUAUAUUUUUAUUCUCAAUUUUUAAAAAAAUUUAUAUACGCACUAUUUUAUUCAUUUGCUUAUUUAAUAAUUUACGACUAACAAAAAUUUUUACAACCAAACACAAUCUAAUACUGGACAAAUUGUACCACAUUCUCCAACAUGAGUUCUAUUUUGCUCUAUAUAGUUAUAGAUUUGAUAUUACAAAGGUAAAAUAUACAUAAUUUAUAUAUACUAUAAACUAUUUUGAAUAGACUAUCCUGCAUUUUAAUAGAGGCUUUCGCUGUAAUUCUGGUGCGACGCUUUAUCCGUUUAACUUUCAAUAGUACUUUAUUUUAGUUCUUAUCUUAGACUAAAAAUUAUAAUUUUUCUAUCUAAUAUAGUAGGGCUACUAUACUCUUAUGAAUAUAGACUUCUUUUUACUCAUAAAUUAUUUUUGACAAUGGAACUUCCGAAUUUACGAUCUAUACCAUUAAAUAUAAUUUAGAGUAUUUAAAAUUUUUAAAAAAUAAAUUUUGUGAUUUUUAAAAUUAUAUUAAAGUCCAUCAAGUGGGCAUAAAAUGAAUGGUCAAAAUUAAAUCAAGUCCUAAAAAUAGAUGAUCGAAUUUUUUAAUUUAAGAUCGGAGUUAUUGAUCUUAUUAAGAUAGUGAAUAGAAUGUUCUAUAAAAAGUUCAACCAAUUUUGAUGUUUUUGUACUGUUAAAUUAACAAGUAUCUUAUACGAGCUGUUAAAAAUUAUCAAUUUUAAAAUCUUUUGAAGGUAAAUGAUGUCGAAAAAUUAUAAAAUUUAAUUUUUAAAAAUUUUAAAUGCUCUAAAUCAUAUAUAAUAGUAUGAAUUAUCGAUUUAGAAGCUUUAUCAUCGAAAGCGACUUAUGAGUACGAAGGCAAUCAUACGCAUAAGAGUAUAGUAGUCGGACUCUCUCUCUGUUUAUACUUAUAUAUAGAGAGAGUCCAGCUACAGUGCUAUCAGUAGCACCAAGAACUUAAUGCUAUUAAGUUUUUCGCUGUUAGAUUUACCCUUUUGACCAUUUCUAUGUAUAGAGAGGAUAGAAAGAGAGAGUCCGGCUGCUAGCUAUCAAUAGCACCAAGCACUUGGUACUACUAAAUUUUUUGCUGUUAGAUCUACCCUUUUGACCAUUUCUAUGUAUAGAGAGGAUAGAAAGAGAGAGUCCGGCUGCUAGCUAUCAAUAGCACCAAGCGCUUAGUGCUACUAAGUUUUUCACCAUUAGAUCUACCAUUUUGACCUUUUUUGCCCGUUAUAUCAUACUAUUCGACCAAUCACCUCCCUAACUCUUGGGGACCACUAUCAUUAUAACCGCAUAUCUCUUCAUCUAAGGGCCGAAAAUCUAAUAGCACCAAUGACUUGAUAAUAUUAAUAAUAUAAUAGCCUAACCAACUGUCCCUAGAGCAAGUGGCAAAGGGCUUGGUAGUUGGUAUCCGAGACCCAAAUUCGAAUCCUAGUUGAUUCACAUUUCUAGCUAAGUUUAUUUAUAAAUGAAAUAAAUGAAGCGAGUAACAUGUUACCCAUCUCUCUCUCAAAAAAAAAAAAAUAUAAUAGCCUAGUUC